Molecule: long non-coding RNA, 54914 nt
Filed under: Medicago truncatula (barrel medic)
Lineage: Eukaryota; Viridiplantae; Streptophyta; Magnoliopsida; Fabales; Fabaceae
Description: long non-coding RNA (MTRU_LNC005939)
Rfam family: MIR5292 microRNA precursor family (bases 19589-19682)
Source: RNAcentral
CAUUAUUAGGUAAUGUCCAAUUAAAUCCAUGCAACAAAUUAGCCAAACUUGUUUGAAUCACCUUAAUACCAAGAGGGUAACCAGGACACAUCCUUCUACCAGCACCAAAUGGUAACAACUCAAAAUCAUGUCCUUUUACAUCUAUAUCUUUACCAAGAAACCUCUCAGGCAUAAAUUCAUAUGGAUUCUCCCAAACCUCAGAAUCUCUUGCAAUUGUCCAAGUAUUGACAAGAACUAUAGUCCCUUUGGGAAUAUCGUAACCAUCAACUUUGCAAUCCUCUCUAGCUUCUCGUGGCACUAAAAAUGGUGCCACGGGAUGUAGCCUCAUUGUUUCUUUAGCAAUUGCGUAAACAUAAGGUAAAUUCGCAAUGUCUUUCUCUUCAACCCAUCUAUCUUUUCCUAUCACUCUAUCUAGCUCCUCGGUUGCUUUCUUGAAGAUCUCUGGUUUUCUAACCAGCUCGGAGAUUGCCCAUUCUACUGUUACUGCGGAGCUCUCCGUCCCUCCGGCAAUUAAGUCCUGAGGAAAAAAAAUACAUAACAAAUAAGUUAGCACAUGAAAAAAUUUAAAUCGUUAAAAUGUGUCAGGUCGGACCAACCCAUUUAACAAGAGCAAAAUUUAGAGUUGUAUAUGCUAGUAAUUUUCGUCUGUCUUCUAAAACUAAUUUGUGUAUCUCUUAAAUCGAUGGAUUCAUUGAGCUAGCACAACAAAACAUACUUAAUUAGGUUAAACUUGGCACCACUUGUAUAAUUAGUAAAUAAAAAAUAUACAGACAUAAGGGUAACAAAUGUGGCAAGAUAAGAGCAAGUUAAUUUAGUUAGCCCCACGAAUACAAUAUAUUGAAUAAAUAAGUGAUAUUUGGAGCUAUCAAGCAAAACUGGAAUUGCGUUAAACAGUUAAUCUCUAAAUUAUGGUUUGGAUUUUUGUUUUAGAAAUAUGACUUUUCAACUUCCCAUCAUUUCCACGAAGAUGCAAGCAUCAAUUGGACCACCCACCCAUGCACUAAGGAUAAUAAUUUCUAUUUUGAAAAAUUGACAUGAUAUUUAUUUAAUACUUAAUAGUAUUAUUUAGGUGGAUUGUCUAAUCAUUGAAAAAAGUAAUUUCAUAAUUAAACAAAGGAGUAUUCUCAAUCAUAAACGUAACCACCUAAAAGAAAAUACCACACCAAAAAAGAACUAAAGAAAAUAAAAGAUUCAAUCACUUCAUACCUGAGUAAAAGCUUUGACUCCAUGCCUCUCCAGUUUGACUUCAAGAUUAGGAUCCUCAGCAAGCUGCAAAAGUACAUCCACCAUAUCUUUAGCAACAUAAUCCUUCACAUUUUUCCUUCUUUCAAUGUGUUCUUCCAAUACAUGUUCCAUAAACCUAUCAAACUUUUUACUCAAAGUCUUCAUCCUCUUCACAUAACCUUGCAAGUCUAAGAAAUGAAUCCAAGGAAUAAAAUCCCCAAUAUUGAGAAUUCCAUUAAGUAAAAACAACUCAUCCAACAUCUUCUUAAACUCAUCAGGGGAAAUAACUGCAUUAUCAGUCUUUUCCAAGUACUUUUUCCCUAGCACCAUUCGACUUAUAACAUUUAGACUCAAAGUUGAAAGAUGGUCUUUCACCAAAAUUGUUUUGUUUUUUGAAUUGAAAAGUUUAUGCAAAAAAUCAUGCAUCUCUUGUUUUCUUAUGUACUCGUAAGACUCGAGGCGUUUUGCACUAAACAACUCCAAUAGACACAUUCUACGAGCUUGACGCCAAUAUGGACCAUAUUGAGACCAAGUUAUGUCUGAAUAGUUAUAUGUUGUGUAUUUUCCAGCCGACAAUUUGGGCCGGCCGGCAAGAGUAGCAUCAUGGGUUUUGAGGAAUGAUUUGGCUAGUUCUACGGUGGCGCCCACAAUGACGGGUUUCGAGCCGAAAUAUAGAUGCAUGAUGGGUCCAUAUUUUUGAGUGAGGCCAUGGAGGGAUUGAUGUGGGAGGGAUCCGAUAAGGUUGAGAUUUCCAAUUAUAGGCCAUGGUUUUGGGCCUGGUGGUAGAUUGUAUUUGUGGCGGCGGAGGCGGCGGCUGAAGAGGAGGAGGAUGACAAAUGUUGCAAACAAUGUGACCCAACUAGGAAGUUCCAAUAAUUGCACUGGCUCCAUAAUUGGUCGAUUUUGUGACUUUCUUUUGGUGUGAAAUUAGAGAGGGUUAUGUGAGUGAGUUUGAAGGGUGUGUGUGGGUCAUUAUUUAUAUGCAUGUGAUAGUGAGAAAGCAAUAGCUCGAGGACCCACAUGAGGUUCAACAAACUUUCCAUCAAUACACAUGUUUCUUGGUGAUCGGGCAUGUAUAAGGGACUAUUUUUCCACUCACAUGAAUCAAAUAAUACUACUCUAAUCAAUAAACAAAGCUUAACGAAGACUCCAUUCAUACAUAUAAAGUUGUUUUUAUUCGAACUCAUAUUUUUCGGAACGACUCCUUGUUAACAAAAGUUUAUUAAACAACAAUAUUUACUUAAUUAUCUCCAAAUAUUUUUGCCAACAAUCUCCAAAUGUUUUUAUAGGCAAAAUUCAAAUAUAUGUGUUAGUGAAACUCAAUGUUCAAAUUAAGGAAAUUAAAAGUAGACAUGACAACAUGAACCACACUCGCUUGAACCCAUUUGAGUUAGUCUCGACUUUGAUGGAAAAUCCUCCCUUUAAUUGGGCGAGGGUGUGGGAUUUAUCUAUUAUUCUAAAUUAGGGUUAUGAUGUUGAUAUCUUCUUCGGAGCUGUCUCAUUAGUAAAAAGUAUUUUUUCAGAUACAUAUAUUUAUUCAUUUUAUUUAAUAUUUAUUUAAUUAUAUAUUGUAAAUUUUAAUUUCUUCUUGAUAGAAAAUAUAAUUUUAAUAUAAUUUUAUUGUAUAUAUCUAUGUCAGGAAUGCAGUGGUAGAGGGAGGAGUGGCCCCUAAGUUCUAUGGCCACCAUCAUUUAUUUUUGAGAGGACCACCAUAAAAUUUUAAAUUUUACUUUUAACACUCAAGAUAGAUAAACUAUAAAACAUUAUGAGCAUGUAACUUUAAAAGUCCCAAUGGUGCAAUUCAACAAGAGUAUGUUGCCACAUUGCCACCUGUCAAACAAUUAUUUCAGGAAGUAACAAUGCCGCCACAUUGUCGAUCUUUUGUUGAACUCUAGUGUCCUUAAGCUUCAUGUAUUGUUAUAAAAUUAUUUACUUAAACGUAGAAAACAUACAUCAUGUCCACUAACUUAUUCUGAUAAAUAUAAAUUAAUUAGGUAUAACUAACCCAUUCAACCUUAUUUUUACAAUAGUAACUUAUAUUAAAUUUAAGGUCAUCUUGUCCGUUUGCAAGCAGGAUCCUGGCAAAUCGAUAAAACUUUAUUUGUUAAAACAAGAAUAAGUGGGCCCAUCUAAAAUAAUUGAAGAGUAAGUGGAAGACAAUUGACCUGUAUAUUUUGAUCUUUCAAAAAUAAUUUCGAGUUGCCAAACUAAAAUGGACUCACUGCCUAUUGUUUCUUGGAUUGUUGCCAUUGCAAUUUCACAGAAAUUUCAAUAUUGAUUUAUUGACUUAGAAUUUGCAAAGUAGUUUAUUCCAUUGACCUUGACUCUUGACUCUUGAGUCUACAUUCACAUAGUGUAACGGUGUUAUUUCUUGUUCAUACUCGGCGGUCUCAUAAACUUUGUCAUGUUAGGUUGUGUAUAACCCUAACUAAUUACAGUCUCUAAUAUACUAUUUUUUAUUAUGAAUAGCCAAAACUAUGAUUAGAUAAUGCAAAAUAUAGAAGAAUAUAGAUAAAAUAGACAAGAAAUAAGAAUAAAAUAUUUGCUUUAUACUCCUUAAGUCCGGUGUCUCUUUACAAUGCAAUGAGUCCUAUUUUUAAGACAUAAACCUUAUAGGUUACAAGUAAGUGAAAAAUCACAUUGAAGACAAUUAACGAUUAAUAGGUCAUCCACUCAUGAAAAUUCUUGAUCAUACUAGUGGAAGACUAAAGAAAACGGGCAUCCACAAAUACAUAUGUUUAAAACACACCCCUUCAAUGAAACCUGGUACAUACAUAGUACGGGUGUGAGUAAGAUAUGUAUGUUUAAAUAUGUAUAAAAUUUAAAAUUCAAGAUACGAUACACCUAAGAAACAUUAAUGAAUUUUUUAUCUUAAAAUUUAUAUGCAUGUAAAAUAUUUGAAAGAAAUAAGCAUCGAUUAAUCUUCAUUAAUAUAUAAUUAUAAAAUUACAAAUUAUAAAGCGAAACUCAUCAACUUUGCUUUUAACUACCAAAUGUGGUGGCUCAAUCUCUUUUAUGUUUGUGAUUGUUUCUUUGCUUUCUUGUUGGUGAUUUUCACCUAUUCUGAUGUAACAUUACUUUUUCUUUGUUUCUCUCUAGCACUCCUUGUGCAAAGAAAGUAAAGUCAUUUAGUUAUAUGUAAUUCUAUUAUAGCUUCUUAAAAAAAAGGGUAAUUUAAGUUUUUGGUCCCUAUAAAUAUCUGCAGUUUUGUUUUUAAUCCCUAUAAAAAUAAAUCACACUUUUUUAGUCCCUACAACAUUUUCCGUUAGUGUUUUUAGUCCCUGUUAAAUUAAAAUUUGUUUAAUUAUGCUUUAAAUUUUAAAUUUUUUAAUGUUUUUUUACAUAGUUGUUUAAAACAUUAUACAAGGUUCCGCCACAAUAAAUUAGCUCAAAAUUUUAUUUUUAGGUUCAAAUUUUUGUUAGUUUUAUCUUGAAUUUUUGGCGUUUUAAAAAAAUUAUAUUUAAUUUAUUACAUGUUAAAAAAUUCUAAUUUUUUAUAAAAGAGAUUAUUAUAAUGUUCUUAACAUGUCUGUUAAAAAUCAUUUAAAAAUAUAAAAGUUUAAGUAUAAUUAAACAAAUUUCAAUUUAACAGGAACCAACACAUACUUUUAGUCCUUGUAAAAUUAAAAUUUGCUUAAUUGUGCUUAAACUUUUAAAUUUGUAACAUAUAUUUUUCACAUACUUACUUAGAAUAUUAUACAAAGUUUCUCCGCAAAAAAGUAACUUAAAAUUUUAUUAUUAGGUCCAAAUUUUCAUUAAUAUAAUCUUGAAAAUUUGGCUUUUAGAAAAAGGCUAAAAUAUGGUUUUGGUCCCUGCAAAUAUGUCUCGUUUUGGUUUUAGUCCCUGCAAAAAAAGAUUGUUGUUUUUAGUCCCUGCAAAUAUGCCUCAUUUUGGUUUUGGUCCCUGGCUCCACUUUUGUGAUGAUUUGCACACGUGGCACAUGAUGACUGAACCCAUUUAUUAGAGAAAUAGUCUCUGCAAAAUCUUUUGAUUUUGAAAAAGGUCCCUGCAAAAUAUUUUGUUUUUGGAAAUAGGCAGGGACUAUUUCCAAAGACAAAAUAUUUUGCAGGGACCAAAAACAACAAAUUUUUUUUACAGGGACUAAAACCAAAACGAGGCAUAUUUGCAGUGACCAAAACCAUAUUUUAGCCUUAGAAAAAUUUAUAUUUAAUUCAUUACAUGUUAAAAAACUAAUUUGUUUUACAAAAGAGUGUCUUACGAUGUUAUGAACAUGUUUGUAAAAAAUCUUUCAAAAAUUUAGAAGUUUAAGCAUAAUUAAACAAAUUUUAAUUUAACAGGGACUAAAAACACUAACAGAAAAUUUUGUAGGGACUAAAAAGUGUAUUUAUUUUUAUAGGGACUAAAAACAAAACUGCAGAUAUUUAUAGGGAUCAAAAACUUAAUUAAUCCUAUAAGUAUUCGAUAAAAUAUUUUAAAAAUUAAUUUUGAUAUUUCGUAUGCAUGUAUCAGUGAAUAUCCGCAAAGUAUUAAUAUCUAAUAUGGAUAUAUCUCCAUAUUUGAUGUAUUUAGCUUCAUAAAUCUCCCUUAUAUGUCAAUUGCGAAUGUGCAUCGUUAGAAUCUUAAAAAAAAAAAACUCAAUUAAACAAUAAUCUUACUGAAGAAAAAAAAGAGCAGCAUCUACCUCCUCUACAUAAAAACACGUGUCAUUAAAAACCUUACUUGAAAAUUCAAUGAGAAUGUAUGUGUUUCUCCCAAUAUCAACUAUACUGUAAUCUCUUCGAUGACAAAACUGUUAAAAAGACUGUUGUAGUCAGAUGCUUGUAGAGGUUGGUAAUAGUCAGGUUCCUCGACAAGGCACUUUUGAUCAAAACUGUUAAAAAAGAUCAAAGUUUGUACUGUUGAUGGUACGAUGAGACUAGAGCAAAAACAAACAUGUUUCUUGGACCGAACAGUAAAUGGAGUCUGGCAUGACUUUGACAAGUAAUACACCUUCCGUUUUAAAACGAGUAACGUUUAAGAUUUUUAUAUACAAAUUAAGAAAUAUAAUAAUGAUGUUAAAAAAUAUGACAAUUUUACUAAACUAAUACUAUUUACCAUUGGUGCAAGUUUUUGGAAGUAAUGUAUAUUUAAUUAAUUAGAGAGUACAAUUGGAAGUAAAAUAAUAAUUCUACAUUAAAAAGUGUAACUGACAUUCAUUUUAAAAUAAUUUUAUUUCGCUAAAACGAUACUCAUUUUAAAAACUGAGUGAGUGUAAAACAUUUGGAGAGGUGGUUACUAUAAUCGUAGCUUAGUUAGAUGGUUAUAGUGGUUUAAAUUGGAUUAAAUCUUUUAUAGUGGUUUAAAUAUUAAAGAUGGUAGAAUCUCUCUUUUAUAUAGUGGAGAACUUUAGAUAUAACAAUAAUUGAUAGUGAACCAAUGUAAAAAUAUGUUUUCGGUGGCGGAGUCAGAAAAAAAAGUUUGGGUGGGCCACAAAAAUUAUCCGUUGAAAAAUUGUUUAAAGUCUUGCAAAAUAGACAUAUAAUUGAAUUGUUUAAAUUUUUGGGUGGAUCACUACACCACUUUGCGGGAAUUUAGAUUAACCGAAAACUGAUAUAAAAUUUUAUAAAAUCUCGCAAAAUAGACCUAUAAUUGAAUAUUUAAAUUUUUCGGGUGGGUCACUACAUCACUUUUCGGGAAUUUGGAUCAACCGAAAUCUAAAACCGACACAAAAUUGUAUAAAAUCUCGCAAAAUAAACCUAUAAUCGUUGAUUUUUUAAUUUUUCGGAUGGGCCACAACCAUUGUGUUCUUCUUUUCCAUUUCUCUUUUUAUCUUUGUAUUUUUUUUAAUGUCUUUAAAAAUGUUUUUCAUCGAAGUCUUUUAAAUUAAGGAUUAACUGAUAGUUUAAAGAAGAAAAAUAGUCUACACAAUUCAAACUCAUUCAAUGUGUUUUCUAGCACAUUCCCUUCUAUGCAAUAAGGAAUGUCACAUAGUUUUUUUUCUAUCCGUAGUUUCUAAGAAAACAAAUAUAAGAGUACCAAAUGGAUUCCAUCAAAAAACAAAAAACAAGAGAGAACAUAAUAUACUUUUUUUUUAAUAUUACAACUUUUUUUUUUUUGGUGUCCAAGGCUCGAAUCCUGGACCUUACGUAUAUUAUGUAUUGUCCCUUCCAACUGAGUUAAGCUUACGGAGACAAAUAAUAUUACAACUCUGAAAAGGGACUCAUUUUUCUUUGACAAAAUCAAGGGGACUCAUUACUAACUUCAACAUUCAAACACCAAUAUUUUUUAUUCACAGUCAUGCUUGUUUUUUUUCUUGUCAUUAAGUUAAUGACAUUGAACUCACACAAAUCCCAUUAUUCCCAAUCUUAUUAAAGAAAAAUUCUUAGAGGGAGUAAAGAUGAUGAGGAAGUCUAGGCUCCACAACAACUUCUAGUGGUAUUUUCCUAGGAGUAGUCAGCCCAAAAAUCUCCUCCAUAUUCAAAUCCUCUUUCUUCAUAUCAUUAGGUAAUCUCCAAUUAAAUCCAUGCAACAAAUUAGCCAAACUUGAUUGUAUCACCUUAAGACCAAGAGGAUAACCAGGACACAUCCUUCUACCAGUACCAAAUGGCAACAACUCAUAAUCAUGUCCUUUUACAUCUAUAUUAUUACCAAUAAACCUCUCAGGUAUAAACUCAUAUGGAUUGUCCCAAACAUUAGGAUCUCUUCCAAUUGUCCAAGUAUUGACAAGAAUUAGAGUCCCUUUUGGGAUAUCAUAACCAUCAACAUUGCAAUCCUCACUAGCUUCUCUUGGCACUAACAAUGGUGCUGCAGGAUGAAGCCUCAUUGUUUCUUUAGCAAUUGCAAAAACAUAAGGUAAAUUGACAAUGUCUUUCUCUUCAACCCAUCUAUCUCUUCCUAUUACUUUGUCUAGUUCCUCCGUAGCUCUCUUGAUAAUCUCUGGCUUUUUCACAAGCUCGGAGAUUGCCCAUUCUACUGUUACUGUAGAUGUAUCUGUCCCACCUGCUAUUAAGUCCUACGAAAUAGAUAUAUAACAUAUGAUAUUGGUAUAGUCUUGUUUAGAUAAAUAGGUUAAUUGAGCAUCUAUGUAUAUAAGCAUUUAUAAGUGGGGUGCCAUUUAAUUUGGGAAAACACACUUUUUUCCUAUCAUGGGAAAGUUAAACCAAGACCAUAGAUUUAAUACUUUUUAAUUUGGAUGGCUCAUAUUCAUUACCUGUUAACUUUUUGAUGGGUUAUAUAAAACAAAAAUUGUGACCCCACCUCAUAAUUAAAUAACAUUUUCUUUUUUGUAUGUAGUAGUGGGCUUUGGCAAUAAUUUUUGGGCUUGUUAGUAAUGUUUGGGAUCAUACAUAUUAUUAUGUAUAUAAUGAAAAUGUUAACCUUACGUAUAUGGUAUUUAAAUUAGGGAAUAUGUAUUUUUUUUUUUGUUGAUACAAAGAAAAGAAAAUAAUUUUUUUUAUUUGAUUAAUGCUAAAAGGAAUUAUGAACCGAUAAAAAUGAUAGUUUAUUUGUAUGUUUGAAAAAAAACUGAUAAUCGAUUGAUUUUUAAGAAAAUGAUGUGUAAAUAAAAAAAAAACUUGGUGCAUUUUUCUUAAUUAAUAAUGUUAAUUACACAAAAAAGUAAAUCACAAUUUUUUAUUUUGUGGACUAAAUUAAACAGUACACAAUUGUUUUAAAAAAUAUGAGUUUGUUUUAGUCAUUGAACAUAAUAUCUCCUUUUUGUAAUUUGGGACAGGGUUACGGUUUGAAUGAUCAUCUUAGACAAAACCAUUUCGUUUAAGAUUGAGAAGAAUAUUUUUGUAAAUGGUAAUUAAUACAAUAUGGUACUUUUUAGUAACAAAUUAAUUUCAAGAAGAAUAUUUUUGUAAAUGAACGUACCACAUAAUGCCAAUUUUUAGUAACAAAUUAAUUGAGAAGAAUAUUCUUUCAAUCAUGGUUUUUCUUUUAUACAAAAAAUUGUAAAUAUAAUUACUGGUUACAUCGUUGAUUAGGCUGCCGUUAAUAUAAUUGUAAUUUUUGAUAAUCUGUUAAAAUAUAGUCAGUAUUAAUCAAUCAGUUUUGUGGUGUAAUGCGGAAAUGGGGAGGUGCAGUAGUAAGUUUGGAAAGAACAUUAAAAUAAUAAAUUGAGUUUUUUUUGUUUUUUUUUUUUGCAAGUUAAAAACCGACAAGUGUCCUUGGUAAAGAGACUUUCCCAUGGUGGAAAAAAAGUCUUCUUUCUCAAAUUAAAUUGCACCUAUAAGUGGAUAUAUAAAAUAAAGUCAAACUGAUUUCACAUAAACUAUAUAAUGUUAUCAUAAUUAUGGAGUUGUGAAAAUAAGCCCAAAACAACUUAUAAACAUGUCAUAAUUUGUUCUCAUAUAGCUCUUUUAAAAAGUCUCACAUGUGUUUAUAUAAAUAAACUUAAAUAAAUCAAUCCAAAUAGACUUUAAGGUCAAUAUUAUAAAGACCCUAAUUCUAAUAUUUUGAAAGAGCACAAAUUUAUUAAUACAUGAAAUGGUUGAAAAAAUACUAAGAAACUUGUGAAUGCAAUACUUCCCCUGUCCAUAUAACUGUCUUAACAUUUUCCGAAAAAACGGCCUUAUCAUUUAUUAAUUCUUGUAAAAACAGUAAUUUUAAUUGAUGUUUUUCCGCUGUACCUAUCUUUUACAAAUUCCUUUGUACCUUGUACUAUUUCACUUACACAUUAUUUCAUACAGUUUGUGUUUAGGAUAAUGAGAAUGAUUAAUGAACCUGAUUCAAACCGUAACACGAACACUAGAAAAAACCGAAUAAAUAUUAUAGAAAAAUUGUGGGAUCCAUUUAAAAUUUUAGUAAAGUUUACUAUUAAAAUAAAAAUUGAAUGAAUUGCUUCAAAGUUAUGUGCCGAAGUGAACCCACUUAAAACCUAUAAAGGAAAGUCACUAAUGGAAAAUACCCAUAGUGGAAUAGUUAGAGGUUAAUAUACAAUAAAUAAUUAAUAUCAGUAGAAAUGACAAUUAUAUAUGAAACAAAUGAGAUACUUAAAAAACAUAUAAUUAAUAUUUUUUCUAACCUGAGUAAAAGCUUUGACUCCGUGCCUCUCAAGUUUGACUUCAAGACUAGGAUUCUCUGCAAGCUUCAAAAGCACAUCCACCAUAUCUUUAGCAACAUAAUCAUUAACACAUUUCCUUCUUUCAAUGUGUUCCUCCAAUACAUGUUCCAUAAACCAAUCAAACUUCUUACCCAAAGUCUUCAUUCUCUUCACAUAACCUUGCAAGUCUAAGAAAUGAAUCCAAGGAAUAAAAUCCCCAACAUUGAGGACCCCAUUAAGCAAAAACAAUUCAUCUAACAUCUUCUUAAACUCUUCAGGGGAAAUAAUAGCAUUUUCACUCUUCUCCAAAUACUUUUUGCCCAAAACCAUGCGACUUAUAACAUUGAGACUCAAAGUUGAAAGAUGGUCCUUCAACAAAAUUGUUUUGUUUUUUGAAUUAAAUAGUUCGUGCAAGAAAGCAUGUAACUCUUGUUUUCUCAUGUACUCAUAAGACUCAAGGCGUUUUACACUAAACAGUUCUAGCAGACACAUUUUACGAGCUUGUUGCCAAUAUGGGCCAUAUUGGGACCAAGUAAUGUUGGAGUAGUUAUAAGUAGUAUAUUUUCCAGCGGAGAAUUUGGGCCGCCCAGCAAGGACAGCGUCGUUUGUUUUGAGGAAAACUUUGGCUAUUUCUGGGCUCGAUCCCACAAUGACAGGUUUAGAGCCGAACCAUAAAUGCAUGAUGGGUCCAUAUUUUUUAGUGAGCCCGUGGAGGGAUUGAUGUGGAAGUGAUCCAAUAAGAUUGAGAUUUCCUAUUAUGGGCCAUGAUUUUGGGCCAGGUGGUAGAUUGUAUUUACGGCGGUGGAGACGAAGACGGCGGCGGGUAAAGAGAAGAAGGAUGAUAAAUGUUGUAAAAAAAGUAACCCAAUUAGGAAGUGGCAAUAAUUCUACUACCAUUUCUAGUGAGUUUUGUGACUUUGUUUUGGUGUGAGAUUAGAGAGUGACUGUGAUGAAAUUAGAGAGUCAUUUAUUUAUAAUCAUAGUAGAGAAAGCUGUAGAUGAGGAUUACAUGGCCCCGUGAGUAGUGAGGCAAAAUAUCUCCAAUAGAUACACCUCUUUAUAAUCAAAUAUACUUCAUUUUCAAGCUUGUUUAAUUAUUAAACUUUAACGUAUUCAUUUAUUAAAACAAAUGGGUUCAAUCAAUGAGCAAUAAAAUAUACAUUAAUUUCUUAAUUAGGUUUAACUAACCUGUUCAAGCUUUUAUUUUAUUACAACAUGAAAGUUAUCUUGUCGGUUUGCAAACAUUAUCUUGGCAAAUCCAAAAAACUUAGUUGUUAAAAAUCAAGAAUGAGUUGGCUUGUCCAAAAAUAAUAAUUAUUGGAAGGACCACAUUGACCUAUAUAUUCUACUUGGAAGCAGUAGCGUUGCCAGGACCCUAGAUUAAGAGGUUUAAAAUUUUGAACUUUAAAAUUUUAUCUUGAACAUGUAUUUUGCUUUAAUAUUAAUAUCUUAAUAUAUCAAAAUUACAAAUACGUUCAUAAAUAUCUCUUUUAUUCGUCAUUUUAACCAUCAAAUUAGUUUUAGAUAGUCAAUUUUAUCUUAGAAUAUAUUUUGUCAUUGUUCUAUUUAAUCUAUAAAAUUACUAAAAAAAAGAUGCACUAAAGAUGUAUUUGCAAUUUCAAUACUCUUACGAAGUAUGAUAAGAUAAGAGUGUCUCACACAUUUAGGAUCAAAAAAGUUGGUUGUGUAUUUAGAGACAAAAAUAAAAGCUAAAUAUUUAAAGGUAAAUGUAGUAAAAUCAUACUCCCUCCGUCCCAAAUUAUAUGACGUUUUGGGCAUUUCACACAUAUUAAGAAAUGUAAUUAAUAUUGUGUGGGAAAGAGAUAUUAUGAGUUGUUUUACAAAAUUGUCCUCAAUAAAUGAUAUGGGAAAGAUAAAUGAAGGAAUUGAAAGAAGAGAGAGUAAUAAAUAGUUAAGGAUAUAAUAGGAAAAGUAACAUUAAUUUUUCAUUGGUAUUGUAAAGCGACAUACAAUUUGGGACAAAUAUUUUUUCUAAAGUGACAUACAUUUUGGGACGGAGGGAGUAAAAGUUUUUGUGAAAAAUCACCCCUUGUCGUUGGUACGAUAUGCUAGGAUGUUACUCUUACAAUUUUUAUUUGAAUUAUUCGGAAAAUGUUCAAUAAAUAAUUUUGUGUAAUUGUCAUUUGUAAAUAUCAAACAAUAAAUAAAUGAAAUAACAUGAUUCAUACACUGGAAUGAUAGGAGACACCAACAUAAAGCGCCUCCUCAAGAAAAAGAAAAAAGGGAGAUAUUGUUAGAUAGAAAUUUAGAAGGUGUAGGGUUCUUUGACAAAUUUUCAAGGGGUUCAAGUAGUAAUAAAUUGAGAUUAUUGGUUCAAUGUUGAAAUUUUGAGGGUGUGCAAUUGCACCCCUGGAUUAAGUGUGGCUCCGCAAGUGGUUGGGAGGGAAAUUUUAGAGAGUUUUUUGAGGAGGAUUUUGUAGGAUUUGGGUCUAUAUUUUAUUAUAUAUUUUAAAUUUUAAAAAAUUGGAAGACUAAAAUAAUAUAUGAUCACAGGCAGAAAUAUUUUAUAACUUGCUUAAUUUAAAAAAGAAAAACCAAUCCACACGUCCUCCAUUCACCAAAAUCUUCCUCCCAAAUGGGAGUGAAUUCUGUCGAUUGCCCUCCUCAUGUUUCUUUCCACCUUUGAUUUUUUUUUACUUCCUAAAAUCUCUCUUUCUCUCCUUUAAAAUAAAUGAUGGAAAUUUUAAUGGACUUUCAAGUCACAUGAAAUGACUCAUCCCCCUCCCAAACAGACUCCAAUAGUGUGUUUGAUUGUGAGAACAAAUUGAAAAGAGAGAAAGGCGUAAGAAAGAGAGUGUAAAAAAAGAAAGAGCCGAGGAAUAGAGUAAAUUUAAUGUGUGACUUUGUGAAAAUAAAAUUGUAAUGUUAGAUGAAAUUUAAAACAUUGCAAGAAACAUUGUUGGAAAUAUAUUGUAUUAUAGUCUUUAACUCGAUUCUAAUGUUGGAAACAAAAAAUUGUAUUGUUUUGAAAAACCGUCCAAACCAAUCCAAUCCAAACCGCAUUAGUUUGGUUCGAAUUUUAUUUUAAAAGUCAACCGAACCAAACCAAACCGCAUGCAUUUUUAUCAUGCGGUUCAGAUGACUUUUAACCUCAUAACCGAACCAAACCACACAUAAAAAAAUUUCAUCAGCAUUUUUAGUCCUUGUAAAAAAAUUUCGUCAACAUUUUUGGUCCCUAAAAUGCUUAAAAAAAAUGUCACGGAAACUAAAAAAUGAUUUUAUUUUGUAGAGACUAAAAACAAAAUUCUUAUAUUUAUAAAGACCAUUUACUUAAUUAACCUUACAAUUCAAACCCAUUCAUUAUGUUUUCAAGCACCUUCCCUUCUAAGCAAUAAGGAAAAGUCACAUAAGAGUACCAAAUGCAUUCCAUCAAAAAACAAAAAACAAGAGAUAGCAUAAUAUAAUAUACUAUUAUUUAAUAUUACAAACUCUAUAACAACUACAUCCUUCAGUUACUAUUAUAAGCAAAAAUUCAUAUUUUAGGUUCAUUCAAUAAAUGAUGUAUGUGACCUACAUUAUAAAUCACAUACAUCAUUUAUUGAAUGAAUCUAAAAUAUAAAUUUUUGAUGGAAUAUACUAUUGCACUCAUUACUAACCAACUUUCCAACAUCGUAUAUUCUUCAUUAUUACGCUUGCUUUUUUCUUUCUUCUCUUGUCAUGAAGUUAAUAACAUUGAACUCACAAAAAUCCCAUUAUUCCCAAUAUUAUUAGAGAAAAAUACUUAGAGGCAAUAAAGAUGAUACGGAAGUUUAGGCUCCAAAACAACUUCUAAUGGUAUUUUCUUAGGUGUAGUGAGCCCAAAAAUCUCCUCCAUAUUUAAAUCCUCUUUUUUCAUAUCAUUAGGUAAUCUCCAAUUAAAUCCAUGCAACAAGUUAGCCAAACUUGAUUGAACCACCUUAAGACCAAGAGGAUAACCAGGACACAUCCUUCUACCAGCACCUAAUGGCAACAUCUUAUAAUCAUGUCCUUUUAUUAUAUCUAUAUCAUUGUUAAUAAACCUCUCUGGUAUAAAUUCAUAUGGAUUAUCCCAACUAUCAGAAUCUCUUCCAAUUGUCCAAGUAUUGACAAGAAUCAUAGUCCCUUUUGGUAUAUCAUAACCAUCAACAUUGCAAUUCUCAGUAGCUUCUCUUGGCACUAACAUUGGUGUCACAGGAUGAAGCCUCAUUGUUUCUUUAGCAAUUGCAAAAACAUAAGGUAAAUUGACAAUGUCUUUCUCUUCAACCCAUCUAUCUCUCCCUAUUACUCUAUCUAGUUCCUCUGUAGCUCUCUUGAUAAUCUCUGGCCUUUUCACAAGCUCAGAAAUUGCCCAUUCUAUUAUUACAGAAGAGGUAUCUGUCCCACCAGCUAUUAGGUCCUGGGGAAUAGAUGUAUAACAUAUGAUAUUAGUAUAGUCUUGUUUGGAUAAAAAGGUUAAUUGAACAUCUAUUCUAUAUAAGCAUUUAUCAUAUAAGUGUAUGUGUCACAUACACGUGGCUUAAAAUAUUAUAAGUGUACGUGUGCACGUGCAGCACACAUACAUGCGGCUUAAAAUAAAACUAUUUCGUUAAAGGACCAUCUUUCAACUUUUAGUUUCAAUAUUAUUAGUCGCAUGGUGUAUGUGUAUAUAUAAGUCGAGGUGUUUAAAUCCUAAUAUAUCCAAAUUAAAACUGUAAGUUGUUUCAGAAAAUUGAAAACCGCAUAAAAUUGAAUAUUAUAUUAUAUUAUAUUGGAUGUAUUUGAAUGUCUUCUUGUUUCAAAACCAAACCAAAUCAAACCACAUACAAAUAUUUUAAGACUUAUUUUUUUAAUUAAAAUAAUAUAAUGUCUUAAUCAAUUAUUUGUUGACUUUUAAAUCAGUUAUUUAUUAGUUAAUUUUUUUUUUUUAACUAUUUCAUAUCUUUCAAACACAAUUUAUCAUCGUCAUUUCCUAAUAUUAAUUUUUAAUAUACUAUAUGUUAUAUUUUCCAUCAACCUUAUUAUAUUACAAUGUCUUUGUAAUAAUAAAAAAAUUACGGUUCAUAAUUUGGAUAUAAAAAAAAUGAUCCAAAAUAAACUACAUCAAAUUGGAUCAAAUCAGAUUUUUUACAGUAGGUAUUAAAAAUUGAAUUGUGUGUAUUUUAUCUUUGGAUCAUAUGCAUUUUUGUUUCAAAAUUGAUCAAAACUUCACCGCAAACAUCCUUUCAUGCAAGUGAAAAAAAAAUGACUUCUAACUACGACCAUUCACGGGUAUAAAACGGAUAAAUAUGAUAGUAUAUAAAUUAUGAGAUCCAUUUACAAUUUUAUUGGAUUUCACUCUUAGAUUAAAUAUGAAAUGAUUUGCUUUAAGAUGAUGUGACUUAGUGACUCAUUUAAAACCCUUUAAAUGGAGGUCAUCGAAGAAGAUGCUCAUAAUGGAGGUGUUAGAGGUUACUUCCUCCGUCCCACAAUAAGUGAUUCAAUUUGACUAUUUACACUAUUAAUAUAACAUACAUUGAUCAUAGUUUUCUAUUAAUAUAUAAAUACAAAUGGUAGCAUAUAAGAUGUUGUAUGAUUUGUCUCGAUGAAUUUUUUAAAAUUAGUAUCAACUUUUUAUAAUUUUUAUUAAUAUAUAAUCAAAUAUAUUAAAAGUCAAAAUUGUGCAUUGAUAUAUGUAAAACAGUUAACUAGGUCACUCGUUGUGGGAUGAAUGGAGUAAUAUACAAUAAAUGAUUAAUAUACAUAGAAAACGACAAAUUUGUAUGAGACAAAUGAGAUACUUAAAAAAGAGAUAUAGUUUAUCUUUAAUAUCUUCAAUUCUUUAUUAGAAAAUAUUAUGAAAAUUUAAUAUUUUAAAAAUAUUAUUCAUCGAGACGAAUCUAACAACAUCUUAUAUGAUAUUAUUUAUCUUUGUAUAUUAGUAGAAAAAUGUGGUCAAAAUAUGUUAGAUCAAUAGUAUACAUUGUUAAAUACGUUAUCUAUUACGGUACGAAGAGAGUAAUUAAUAUUUUUUUACCUGAGUAAACGCUUUAACUCCAUUCCUCUUAAUUUUGACUUCAAGAUUAGGAUUCUCAGCAAGCUGCAAUAACACAUCCACCAUAUCUUUAGCAACAUAAUCCUUAACAUCUUUCCUUCUUUCAAUGUGCUCCUCCAACACAUGUUCCAUAAACCUAUUAAAUCUCUUACCACAAGCCUUCAUUCUCUUCACAUAACCUUGCAAGUCUAAGAAUUGAAUCCAAGGAAUAAAAUCCCCAAUAUUGAAGACCCCAUUAAGCAAAAACAACUCAUCCAACAUCUCCUUAAACUCUUCAGGGGAAAUAAUAACAUUUUCACUCUUCUCCAAGUAUUUCUUCCCCAACACCAUGCGGCUUAUAAUAUUAAGACUAAAAGUUGAAAGAUGGUCCUUCAACAAAAUAGUUUUAUUUUUUGAAUUGAAGAGUUUAUGCAGAAAAAUAUGUAAUUCUUCUUUUCUCAUGUACUCAUAAGACUCGAGACUUUUUACACUAAACAAUUCCCUUUGAAACAUUUUACGGGCUUGUUGAAAAUAUGGACCGUAUGGGUUCCAAGUGAUGUUAGAGUAGUUAUAAGUUGUGUAUUUUCCGCAGGCAAAUUUGGGUCGUCCGACAAGGACAAUGUCGUUUGUUUUAAGGAAAGCUUUGGCUAUAUCUGGGCUCGAGCCCACAAUGACGAGUUUGGAUCCGAACCAUAGACGCAUGAUGGGGCCAUAUUUUUUAGUGAGCCCAUGGAUGGAUUGAUGUGGGAGGGAUCCGAUAAGGUUCAUAUUUCCUAUUAUAGGCCAUGGUUUUGGUCCUGGUGGUAGAUUGUAUUUGCGGCGAUGGAGACGAAGACGGUGGAUGAAUAGGAGAAGGAUGACAAAUGUUGUACAAAAUGUAACCCAAUUAGGAAGUACAAAUAAUUCUACUAUCAUAUUUGGUGAAUUUUGACUUUGUUUUGGUGUGAGAUUUAGAGGGUUGUGAAUGUGAUGAGAUUUUGAAGGGUGAGUGGGUCCUUUAUUUAUAAUCAUAGUAGAGAAAGCUAUAGCUCAAUAUUUCAUGGCCCCCGUGCAGCGAGACAAAAGAUAUCGAUUAGAAAAAUACACCUUUUAUUUUUUGUUUGUAGAUAGUCGAAAUGACAAAAUAUUAUAAAUUCAUACACAUAAGUGGAGGUACCAGAGUUCGAAUCCCGAUCAUGACGUCCGGUUUAACAAUUUCGGCAUUUUGCCAGUUGAGCUAGGACUUGCGGACGAAAAAUACACCUCUCUAUAAUCAAGCAAACUCUUGUUUAAGCUUGCUUAGUUAUUAAACUUCAACUUGUUUUACUAUUUAAAGAAAUAGGUUCAAUCAAUGAUUAAUUUAAAAGUAAAAUUUAAACUUAAUUAGGUUCAACUUAUUUUUCUUACAACUUGAAAGUUAUCUUGUCGUUUGCAAGCGGGAUCUUGGCAAAUUGAGAAGACUUUAACCGUUAAAAAUCAAGAAUAAGUUGGCCUAUCCACCUCUCAAACAAAAAAGAGUUGACCGAUAAAAAAUAAUAAUAAUAAUAUUAAGUGGAAGACCAUUGACUUAUAUAUUUUUGCUUUUAAAAAGACUUCAAGUAAGGUCGGAGAUAAAUUUUAUUUAUUUUUUCUUGAAAAAAAUACGAUAAUAUUUGAUCAUAUAACAAUUCAAUCACACUUCAUUUUAAUUAAAAAUAUUUUAUAACGAAUCAAACAAUUGAUUCAAAUUGUUAAUGAGUUCCACCAAAGUGCAGAUUAAUAGUCCUCGUGAGUAUAGCUCAGUUGGUUUGGACAAUGCAUAAUAUAUGUAAGGUCUGGGAUUCGAACCCCAUAAAUAUACCCAUUUCAAUUCGCUUAUGAAAAUCUAGCUCCGUUUGUUUUGGACUUUUUUCAAAAAAAAAAAAAAAAAUCUUAAAAAAAUCACUUUUUUCAUUUUUAGGAGUUUGUUUGGGAUUUUUAGAUAAAUCAUUUUAUCAAAAAAAAUCUAUUUUGAUCUUAAAAUGAAAAGCUAUUAGUAGAGUUGUCAAAACGGGCCAGUCCAUUUAGCCCGAAUAAAUAUAGGGCUUGGGCCUAAAAUAUUGAGCCCGAAUUUUAAUAGGGCUUUUUAGCCCGGCCCUUAAAAGCCCGGCACCCGUUAGGGCUAGCUCGAAUGGGCUGCGGGUAGCUCGUUAGCCCGCAUAACAAAAAAAAAAUUCUAUAAAUUAUAUAUAUUUUUCAAAUAAUUAUUUACUUUGUUGAUUAUCAAAGUAAAAAACAAAAGUGAAAAUUCAAUGAAUUAACACAAAUAUAAAUGGAAUAUAAAAUUAUAUUUAUUCAUUUCAUUAUUUAUAGUUUUAAAGAUCGAAUGUAUAAAUAUCUAUAACCAUAACAUAUCUAAUUUAUUUAAAAUCAUUUUCCUCGUCGUUUUAGUUUACGACGUUUGUACGAAAAUGUUUACAAUUUACUUUUGUGCUAGACAUUAUUUAAACAUAUUAAAAAUAUUAUUUAUAAAAAAAUUAUAGCAAUGUUUUAUAGUACUUUUUUAAAAUAAAAAAUAUAUAAUUUUUAAUACGGGCCGGCCGAUUUAGCCUGCAGCCCGUGUAGGGCCGGGCUCGGGUAGUAUAUUUCAAGCCCGUUUUGUCAACCGGACUUUUUAGCCCGGCCCGUUAAAGCCCGAAGUCCGCUAGGGUCGGCCCGUUUAGGGCGGGGCCGCCCGUUUUGACAGCUCUAGCUAUUAGAAUUAGCUUUUCUCAAAGAAAAAUUUCAAAAACAAAGAGGUAACACUUGUAUAUGUUAAAACUCUUUUUUUUUUUUUAAAUGGAUUUUUAUGAAUAGUAGGCAAAAGCAAAAAAUUUCAGAUUUUUUCUUAAAUCUCUAAAAAUUGAUCUCUAGAUUCUUUUGACACAAAAUCUAUUUUUUUUAAAGAUAAAACCCACCUCUAAUCACAUCAUUCCAUAGUGUUACUUUUGUAACAUCUCAAAUGUAACUUGGGAACAAUCUCUAAAAUGCUUACGCAAUGGAAAUAAAUCUUGAAGUAGGAUACUUUCAGAAGAAAUGUAGCAAUUUAAAAUAGAAACUUGAUAAAUGUUUGAAGAACUAGUUUAUAUUCGAAUUAAGUAUUGAACAAUGUUAAAAAUAUAAUUGAAAGUUCAAAAAAUACAACAUGAAAACCCUUUCUUUAGACUCGAGUUGUAAUCCGACAGCUGACGAGUUUUUCUGAACUUUGUCACUUCUUCCAUGAACUAAUACCUAAAAAAGAAACAACAAAAUGGAAUGAGAUAUAUUAUCUCAAGUGAGUUUUCAAAGAGGGAUAAAACUUAAUCUCUCCUUAGAAAAUCCGUAGUUAAAAGCUCAUAUCAAGUAAAUUACUGAUAAAAUACAGGUCAAAUGCAUCUAAAUGUCUUUUAAGUUUUUUGUUUUUUUCAAAUUGGUCCUUUAAAUUUCGAAAGUCCCAAACAAGUCCUUUUAGUUUUUGAAUCGCUUCAAACAAGUCCUUUUAGAGGAUGAUGGUGAUGAUUCAGAUGAUAGCAACAAAGAGCAUUAUCCACCAUUUGUCAAGCCUAUAAAGAUGACUAAUUUUAAGUGGGUGUUAGGAGUCAGAUUUGGUACCAAAGAUGAGUUCAAGGAAGCAAUUACCAACUAUGUUAUCUACAAUGUGAGACUAAAAGGACUUGAGACUUUUGAAACUUAAAGGACCACUUUGGGAAAAACGAAAAACUUAAAGGACCUUUAGAUGCAUUUGAAAGGCUUUCUCAUGCUUUGAAUGCCGGCCAGGUCCACGGCCGUCUAAAUCGACAGAGACCUGUACCUCAUUCUCAGCACCCCUUACAGUAUUGGGCUAUUUCGCCCUAAGCUCGGCGUUCAUCUUUCCGGUCUAGCUCAACGAUGAGCUCUUUAGAUGUUCAGUCUGUUUAGACGGAUAAGACGUUGCAUGUCAUCAUCAUGGGAACCUCAUCAUCGCAGGUAUCCUCGGGUCCCGAAAGAUAUCCUUCUGCAACAAACUAUUCAUAUCUUAGGUUUCAUAAUCUUACUAUAAACAUUCUUAGUUUUUCGACAUGCCACAAAAGAAUGCAAAACCAUAGCAUAAUACACAUGAGUUCCUCAACCAAGGAAAGAACUUUGUCUGGCAGUUAUGAAUUCGUCAACUCUUCAAAAGAGUGGUAAGUACGCCAUAGUUUUUUUGAGCUAAUAAACUAACAAUUGCAUAAGCAAAAAGAUAGAGUAGAAACAUAAAUGAUAAGUUAUGAAAAAUAGACUGAUUUGAUUGAUUAUGUGUCGAAUAAAAUGUACAAGUGUGAUAUUAGUUAUAGACAAAAUUAGUCCUAAUGACCAAUACAUUGUGGCCUAAAGAAUCCAACAUUGUUCGGCUAUUCUCACGGUAACGUGUGCUUCUUCCCGUUGCUGGGAUUAUGUGAUGCCCUAUGUUUGACCAAUUUGCUCCCAGCUCAUGGCAUUUUCCAUUUUUUUUUUUGUCCACCCUGCUAAUUGCCUCAAAACGUGCCUCUGUGAAGAUAGUCGUUUCGGUUAGUAGCACUAUAAAUAUGGAACACGAGCAAAAUGAUGAACUGCCAAGUUCCAUGUGCCUUUGCUGUUUCUAACACUCCCACGAUGUGCGCAAACCAUUGCGGACUUGACAAAGAUUCGCUUAUCGCGUAUUCAGCCGUUUUGGAUUAAACUAUAUUGUUCAUUCAGCUAAAGAGAAUUUAAAUGACCCUAACCUCAGAUGUGUGUCGGUCUCGACUAAAAAUUUAAGUAUUUUUAGGUGUAAACAAAGCAAAAAUAAUGUUAUAUUUAUGUGAUUUAAACAUUACCACCGUGAAAUGUGUUGAAAAGGAGUCAUCUUUUCCGUCCUUGUAAUCUCCAUCUCAAAAACUCUCUUAAACGUAUAACAUUACAUUCAUAGUGGUUGAAUUAACCCAAUUAGUAGUAUGUAGCAUCACAAUCCUCCCAUACACCUGUAGCUACUUCCACUAUGCUCAUCACAUGUAUUGGCACCGGAAAACGACACGUGUUGGACACUAAACAUGCAUUCGAUCAGAGAAGUCGAUGCAAUAAAGGUUUGAUUACGUCACAUAUGAAAUUUUAGUUCCAGAUAUUUGCAAUCAAUAACUGAAAAAUGGUUCAAAUCACAGAUGAACUCAUUAAUCAAAUCUACAGUCUAUACAACACUACAUAUAUAAGCCACCAAUGUCUACUAGUAAUAAUGUUUAUCAAAUCUAAGGACAAAAUGUUCCAGAGUCACUGAUUAUAGUACUAAUACUACUGAUAAAUAAACCAACCAACCAUAAUGCUUAGCAAAAUGUGAUAUGAUAUUGUGACUCAUUUAUUUAUUUAAGACAUUUUUUCUAUGUGGACACACUAUUUGGAACCCCUCUGCAUGUAACACCAGGUCCAGAACUGGGAGCAAGUAAUUCAUAAGGCAAAACACCGGCACCGCAACGGUUCCUCAAAUUCCUAUCACAAUUCCUACUAUCAAUCACCUUCUCAAUCUUUCCAAUUUCAGCAGAGAAUUGAUAAAAUGCUUCGACAAUCUCAGCAUCACCCGUCCAAAUCGAAGGCUGUUGCCUCUCACCUAAAUACUCUUCGUCAGACGAAUGAGUCGAAAGCGUGUCCACAACAGCCAUAUAUUUUGUAGCUUGCAACAAACUAGGCAAUGCAUUGAGAAAAUACUUUUGUGGAUCAGAUAUGAAACUUGUAUAUUCAGGGUCAUUCUCUUCUGGAAUUAAUCUUCUCAUCAACGGGGGACGAUUUGGCACGUAACCUCCAUAAGGGUACUGUCCAAAAUUAAGUGCAGCAUGUUGCGCGGAUGCAUUCCAAAUUAAGAUUGUUAGGACUUGGACAAGAUUGUCACUGUCGUUCAAUCUCGGCCACCAUGAUUCGUCUUUCAUAUCGGCGUGGCCUACAUUGAUUGAUUCGGAGUACCAAGCUUGUAACUCUCUGUCAUUGAUUAUUAGGCUUGGAUUUGGGUAGUAAUAGUUCACAUAGGUGCGAACCCAAUUUUCUAUUGCUGACCAAAUUAGAAGACCAUCUUCUGCAUAAGGGUAAUCUUUCAUUAUUAGCUUUAGCCCAUGUGGUUGUGUGGGGUCAGGUACUGCCAUUCCCCUGAAAUGUUAAAAAGUGAAAAUCUUAGUUAGAUUUAUAUGUCAUUUGCUUACACCAAAUAAAGCAAACAUCAAUUGCAUGUCAAGAAAAAUGUAGUGUCUCUUUUCACUAGAAGUCAACAAUAUCCUAAUAGCAUCUCUAUCCCAUUCACAACAUUGAAUGUAAAAUGGUUUACGUUUGGACAAUAAAUUGAAGUGUAAAACUCACGUUUAGAGUCAAAAACUAUAAAUCAUAGUUUCAAAUUAGAAUCAAUUCUAGAGUCAAAAUCAAUUAUUCAGAAAUGCACUCAAAACAUAUAAAAAAGUGAAAUCAAACAUAUACUAAGUGAAGCCUCAAACAAAUCAUAAAAGAAAGUUCAAUAUUUACAAUUUCUCUUUAGGUAUCAAAAUAUAGUUGUAAAGAAUCGCAGUCAAACGCAGCUGAUACAAUCAAAGACCACCAUUGAAGACCUUUAUUUUAAACUUUAGAGUUGAGGUCUUAAAUUAAUAAGUUAUAACAAACCAACGAUGCGCCUGAAAUGGUAAAAGGUAGCAGAAAAAUUUCAAGUACAAGUUAGAAUUUACCAUACGCCUUAUCUCUAUAUUUAGUGUGUUUGAGUUACGUCACUAGGAUCUUUAAAACAAAGCGGGAAAAAAUGCGGAAAUUAAAGUAAGAUAUUUACCUGCGGAUGAGAUCUUGAGGGAGGCUAUCCUGGUCAAAACGCCAGUUGGUUUUGUAAGCAGCAGAACUAAUCUCCAUUGCAUAUCGACCAGGAGUGAAGCAAGACUCAAUGACACCAUCUGCAUUGAUCAAGCUCUGUCGAGCUAAAGCAUUGAUCUCCAAAGUGUACCUCAUGUGUGGAUCCAAUAACUUGAAAAUUGGAUGCAUUGCACUUAAUUGCCUAUGAGCAGACAAUAUAAAUGGUUCCAUGCAAGCAUGUGUACGUAGCCUAUAUAAAAUUCACCAAGAAAAAAGAAACAAACAAACAAGUUCAUGUGAGUUAUAUAAUCCACCAGGUACAUAUUCUAUGCUUCUAUAAAAAAAAGUUCUAUACUUCAAAUCACCAAUUUAGUAUUCAAAUUGCAUGUGUCAAUGAAACAAUUUUUUCAAACCUAUGAAGCAAUGAUUUUUCGCAUGAAAUGCAUAUUUCAUAUUUGGUGUCGGACACAUGUCAAAAUUUGAUACAACACAUGUGAUUACAUUCAAUUAUUUCAUUGAAUUAUUAUUAGUGUCGACGUUCCAGUGUAAAUGUCAUGUGUCACUUGUCACAUAAAUUUUUAGGACUAAAUUGGUGAUUGACCAAGUAAAUGAAAAUUUGUGGUUUUCUUACCAAUGGUGGGCAAGUUGGUGCACACCAGCAUCAUUGGAGCAAACAUGAGCUUUUGCAAGCAUCCACAUCCAAUUAGUAGUAGCAUCUAAAGCAGGUGUAACUACACGUUUUGAUCGAGUAUUUGGUCCAGAUGGAGGCAGGCUAAGUUCAAUAGCAACAGGCUUUAGAGUACCAAGUGGUGUCAAGUAGUAUAUGGUACGUGUGGCAUAUGAUUUUCUACCAUCUAAGGCAUUGAUCCUUUCCAAAAAUGGAAGGUAGAUAUCAUGAUAAUCAAUUAUAAACAACUUAUUUUGAUCUAUAGCCUGCAAAAUUCAAAAAAAUAAAUAAAUAAUUAGCAAGAGUUUAGUUGAAAUAGUAUAGUAAUAAAAAAAAAGUCAAAAUUUAUAUGAUCUACUACUUUGACUAUUCUUUAUUCAGAAUUCAAUGAAAUGUGGAUUAAAUAGUAAAAAUAGGAUAAUUUUAAAUUUAUUUCUUUUGGAACCUAUUGGGCACCAUGAUAGAUUCUCCUAUUUUAACUGAUUUUUCUUCAUACGUAAGAGUUCGUUUGUCUCAAAAUUUACUCAAUAAAUUUAGAAGUCUAAGACAAAUUUUAAAGCAAGACUUAAAACUCUAACUUAAAUUGCUUAGACUUUAGGUCGAUCCUGAGUAGUCAAACAUCUGACAAUUUGUUUAAAGUAUCCAAAUCACACACUACUUGAAACAAACCACAUAUUAGUGACCAUUAUAAAUUUGAUGUCAAGUGAAAAAAUUAAUCCAUGGGAAAAAUGUUUUUCUUUAAGGUACAUGGGAAAUGUUAUACUAAUUGGUUAAAUAGUUUGAAAAACACUUCCCAAAGCACUUGAUUAGGUAACAUGGUUAGUAAGUUAAUGAACGCUUUGUACCAAGAAGAAAAAAGUUUAUGAAUGCAUUAUAUGGUACCUCUUGGACGGUCAUGCCAUUAAGUUGAUUUAAAAUGUGCUCUUUUUUAAGAGCAGACUCUUGUGGACCAUAGAUUUCAGGAUCUAAUUUACUAACAGGUGGGAAAACUGUAAGUCUCUCAAUGGUAACAGGAUUAACUCCAGCUAUUGCUUGACGAGCAAAUUCAUCAUCUCUCAACCAAGCAAAUUUAUCCUCUGCACAUUAGACACAUGAGAUCAAUAAUUUCACAAUUAAUUAAACAAGAACUUUAAUUUUUAUAUUAACACUUUAUAAUAACUAGACACACAUGUGAAACAUUAAUUUAAAAUUAACAAUUGAAUGAAUACACCUUUUGAAGUAGUAAUAAUUAAUAGCAAAUUGGCCCAGUUGUAAUUUUUUAUAUAGAAAAGGAAUGGUAUGAACACUAGAUCUAUCUUUGAACUGAAAACUCAUCUUUUUUGGGUGAAAUUCAACUGACAAACACUAAAAGCCAAAUAACAUGUUGUAGUGUGGCACUCUUUAAUUUGUAGCACUAUCUUUUCAUAUGGCAUGCCAUUAUAGAAUAUUCAUGGCAUAAGACCCCACCACAUUGCAAAUGAAAGGGAAAGUAAAAAAAGUAUAAAUUUUCCUUUAGUGUAAUUGGUAUAUGAUUUGGAGAUAUUUCAAAUCUAAGUUAAAUUUUUAUAAAAAACAUAAUUCAAUUUCGAAAUAUAAAGUUUAGAAAUUUUCUAAAUGAAGAAAAUGUAAAACCCUAAGAAAAAUUAUAUUUCAAAAAAUAUACAAUGCUACAUCUUCCAUCCAAUGACUUGUUAAUUCAUUAUUCAACCUGACGUACUAGUAGAAUUAAGCCGAAAAUUUAGUAAUGCGGAAAUUUUAAAAAAUGGAGGAUAAAAAUUGUGAAUCAGACGAGAGGACUAAAAGGUUAUUAAAACCAAAGAUUUACUUAUGAAAAGAAUUAGCAUUAACUCAAUUAUGCAACCAGUUUUCUUAGCAAAAAGGACAAGAAAUUAGCAAUAACAAGUGCAUAUUCCACUCACUUGAUAUAAUCUUGGGAAUGUCAUACUUAAGGAUACCCUGGCUGGUGGAUUCUUGGAUCUUGCUAACAAUGUGAGGCAAUGGAAGUUUCUUCAAAAUAUCAUCUUGCAAACCUAACUUAAUGAGUAGUCCAACACUAUAAAGGCCAUCAACAUCUGAGAAUUCGUUGAAAUCUUUGUUUUGAGCAGAAAGACUUGAUUUAAGGCCAGGAAGCAAGUUAUGAAGCACUCCUUUUAGCCUCUUCACUGAAAAUGUGUUCAUUUUUGAUUCCUCAAAUCUUUCAUCUCUUGGUAUAUACAUAGGAAGUGGCUUCUCCACACGACUCUCACAAGUAAUAUCUACAGCACCAUCCAAUUCAAUUUUGCUUAGUUAUUUAGAAUUUCCAUAAAGUGAAUGAGUCGGGGUUCAAAUUUAGGAAAUCUAAUAUCGCACUUUAAAGGAUAGAAAUGUAGUUUAACACCCUACUAAAGGAUAUAAUGCAAAAUUCAUUAAUCAUUUAGUAGUGUAAAAUUGCUUAUUUAAUUAAUUAUUACCUGUAUCAGAUGGUUCACGGCCAGUACGACACCGUCUAGGGUAUGGAUACAUUUCAGAUCCGCCAAGAGUUGGUCUAGCAAGAUCAAUUCCUCUAUCUGGGUUUCCAAGAUCAUUGUAUGUGUCAUAAUCAUAAAUUCUGUCAGAUAAUUUUCUAACUCCUUUUCCAUCACCUCUCAGAUUUUUCAGGUCUUUCUCCCUCAAAAGUUUAAUCCCAGCAGGUGUAUCAUCGGGUAGAUAAGGCUGUUCAAAGUAAAUCAAACAUAUGUUACCACUUUAUUCCGAAAAGAAUAUAUACUAUACUUGAUCUUAGUCGAAAGAUCGAGAAAGGUAAAUGUUACCAUUUUAUUUUUAUAUUUAAGGAAUGUUGCCACUUUAUUAGUUGUAAUAAAUUAACAUUAGGGAAAUGCCGAAUAGUAUCGAGGGUAAUAUUAUUUCACCACAUUCACCCUCGAUCAUAAGGAGUAUUUGUAAUAGUCAGAAAAAUAAGAGGAAUGCGAGAGAUAUUAUUUUCUAACACUUUAUAAUAUUCAUCUUUUAUUAGAUGAAAUUAAUCUAUAUCCUAGUACCAUUUUAAGAAGACCAAUUUUUAAGUUGUGAAACUCACCUUCAUUUAAACAUAUAAAGGAGUGAGUGUUAGAAAGCGUUCAACUGUCUAAAAAAUAAAGAUAAAGACUAGUAGUAUUCUUUUUCUUGACAAGUACUGCUAUUAUUUAAUUCAACGGUUUCUUUGCCCAAUUCAUACCGGUAGGUCAAUUCAAUGGUGCUUGGUCCAUGCAUAAAUUUUCUAGCUUAAUUGUUUAUUAAUACUAUAUCACUUUAUCACGGAUAAUUAAUUAAAAAAUGCAAUGAUAUAUAACACUAAUUAUAAAAUCACGGACUGUUUGGUUUUGGCACCUAAAAUAUUAAAUAACAUUCAAUAUUUUUACGGUAAAAAAUGAACUUUUGGAAUUCUUGUCCCUUUUCAAGAUUCUUCAAAAGAAAAAUUAUUAUACCUUUUAACUUCCAAUUUUCUCCUUAUUUCUCACGUUGAAAAAAUGAAUAAACAAAUAAUGUUGCCUUAUUAUACUAUUUCUUUGGCUGUACUAUUUUUUUUUCUUACUGGGCCAUGUUAUGAUGACAGAACGAAAAAUAUAAAAAACAAAAAAAGAGUUGAAGAAUUAAUUAUUAGAUACCUUAUUAGAAAAGAAAAUUCUCUUUCCAGGAAGAUCUUUUCUGGCUUGAACCCAAGAAUUGCAAGGAAAAUGAAAUGCUCCAGUUGCAAAUCCUUCAAUUGUUAUAUUUUCUAAGUAAAACUCUUGUUGAUGAUUAUUUAUCACAGUAAUUGCUCCUGGUUCUCCAAAAUUUGAAUCAACCGUAAAUUCAGCUGUGUAAUUAACUCUCUCAGCUUUAAUAUUAGUCUUCUUUGACCAAUCCUUCAACACUGCUUCAUUGGUCUUCUUUGCAGCGUUUGUUUCUGAAAGAUCACAACAUAAAAAUCACCAAUAAUUUAAUUCAGUUAUAAAUUUAAAGUUAAUCCAAAUAAAUUUCCAAAAAUAAUUAAAAUUGAUCAAAAUCAAAGAACAUUAAAUUAAAUUUAAAAGCUAUGAAGCACAGAUACGGACGGACACUAACAUGCCAACACCGCUAAUAAUUUCAUAAAAUUACAUAAUUCAGUGUAAUUACAAGUGUUGGUGUUGUAUCAGUGUCGGACACCGGGACACGUUAAAUCCGAUGAGUGACUGCGCUUCAUAGAUUAAAAGUAUAAAUUAAAUAUUGAUUUUUAAUUAACAGAAUGAAGAAAAGUCUUACUUGGAUCAAUCUCAGUGCUAAAAAGUUCAAGAACAACAUUUCGUCCAAUCCUAUCAGUAAAAGCAUCAAGAUGUUUCACAAAAGUCUCUUUGAAAUCCUCUUUGAUCUUGUUCCUCACUGUCACAACAGCUCUAACCUUAAAUUUCACUGGUUUCUCAGCAGGAACAGAAGAAGAAGAUGAUGAUAUAGAAGAAGAUGAAGAAGAGCUUUUCAUCAAAUCUUCACUGAUAGCUGCAACAGGGAACUUUGCAGAUUUUCUCAACCUGACAACUCUUUUGUUUCCAUAAGGAACAAAAACAGGACUGAUCAAGAAACUACCAUUCUUCUGUUGAAAACAUGGUGAAGAAGAAGGAAAUAUUGGUCUCUCUACCAAUGAAGAACCCAUGAAUUCUUUUGUUAGGGCCAUGAAUCAAUGGUUUCUUUGAGGUUUUUUCCUUCUUCUAAGGUUUUUUUGUUAAUUUUUAUGAAGAAGGUUUUGUUUCCUACGUUUGGUGAAAUGAAAGAAGAAGUGGAACAGUGAGAAAUAGUUAGUGGUUGUGUCGGUUUUAAUGUAAAUAGUUGGCUUAAGAAUUGUUUUAUAUAUAUACAAGUGAAGAAUACAAUUAGUCAAAAAAAUAAUUUGAAGAACACAAGAAAAGUAGAUUAAAUAAAAGGUGGCCAAAUAUGAAUCAUGAAUUUCUCUUCACCGUCCACACGUUUUAUUUUCUUGCAGUUUAUGUAUAUGCAUAUGAUUUUUAUAGUUGAGUCCUUAAUUACUAGUAUUAGUGCAACUAGUAUUAAUUCAACAACUUUUUAUUUCCUACCGUCCUAGUAAGUCCUAAUCCUAACUUUUUAUAUUUAGAGUGAUCUUAAUAUACUAUAUUUUUUGAGGGAGUUAACUAUUUAUAUAGUUUGCUAAUAUGAAUGAAAAAGACAAAAAAGAAGUAGUAAAAAAUAUAUAAACUAGUUAGUGAGCUUUAAUUAGGAACGAUUAGAUGUAGAAUACUCGAGUUGGAACUUUAAAGGUUACGCUAACAAGUGUCCUGGAUGCUUGUUAAAAAAGUUAAAUAUGGAAAUAAGUAAUAAAUUUAAGGUAAAAAAGUCAAUUUCUAAAAUUUAGAGGUAUUAAACACAAUUUUUAAGAGAAAUACUCUUUUUUGUAUUUCUUGUCAAAUGCUCUUAAAGUACUUGUUAACAUUUUCCAUCGUAUAAUCAAGUACCUUGCAAUUAUUGUUACUAAUAAAUUAUGGAUUAUGACAUUUGUUAAGGAAACCAAAAGUAGUAGGUUUGCAUUAGAUUCAACAAUAUUUUAACUUUUAAAACAUCAAAUUCACCACUUUUCAAUGCAAUAUUUUUAUUUUUAUCCUUUUAAUUAAUGCCUUAAGAAGACUCUUUAGCAUGCAUCUAAAUCAUUCAAAAAUUCAAAGGAAAAAUGCAUAGACUAAAUAUAAUUUUUUUAGAGAGGCUAAAAAUAAAAUUUUAAAAGAAUAUACAAAACCAAAUUAUAUAGUCGCCUACAAAAUUUGAAGUCUAACGUAAGAGAUUUUAGUAGUUGAACUCUUUCACGAGCAUGUGUACUUGGGCUUUGUAAUUGUUGUGAAUUCGGACCAGAUUUCACACCAAUAAACUUACAUUUGUGGAGCAAAAUAAAGUAGUAAUCAAUAAUCAUAGUAGCUUCAAGCAACAACAACAAUAACAAACCUAUAUCUAAGUAUGAAGAAAAACCGCAAGCAAAAUCAAAGCAUAAAGAUGAAGAGAUAAGUGAAACAAACACACCAAGAUUUGUUCACCCAAUUAGACCCAGCAAUGAUCUACGUCUGAGAUAUAUAUAUAUAUAUAUAUAUAUAUAUAGAGAGAGAGAGAGAGAGAGAAUUAUCUACUUCACUAGCAAUGAGAUUCUUACAAAGAGAUAUAGAGGGUUACAACAAAUUUACUUCAACAAGCUAUAUUAGAACAAAUCUAAUUUCUACCAAUUUCUCAAUCUCUUCCCAUGAACAAGAGACUCAAAGAUUUUCACUCACCAACGUGUUUGUAAUUGUUUCCAACCCAAAAAUAUCACUCAAAGACCCCAACCUUUAGCUUUUAUGUUUUCUAAAAUUCCCACCUUUGGUUUCAUGAGAUUUCACAACAAAAUGAUGAAAUAAUGCUUAAAUAGUGUGCUGACACAUGCUAAUUUUUGCCUCACAAUCUACUGGUAUGCUUUUAGAUGUCCGCAAAUCGCCUUAGGAUUUUCUCAAACUGCCUCACAAUUUGGACAUAACUGGGACACAUAAACAACAUUGUAAAUCACCUCACGGUUUGCCCUGAAGCCGAUUUCGCAAAUUCAUCAUAUCAUCAAUUUUGAGUCACAAUUUCAACAUUUCUCCACAUUGACUAUAAUUUUUUGGUGAUGUUAACUUAGCCAUCAACCACAUUUCUCAAUAUCAUUGCAUCUAACUAAACCAUGUAAUUUCAUAAGUUUUCACCUUUAUCUCGUCAACCCUCUGAGUGCCUUCCACUCUCUUGAAGAUCCUUACAUCCAACUACAUUAGGAUUUUUUUGUAGUUCCACAAUUUUCACCAUAACAUCUUCGAACCCCGGAGUGCACGUCUUCGUCUUCUUGAAGAUUUACUUGUUCUCCACAAAAGCAAACAUGCAAGGACUCCAUAGUCGAACCAUUUGGAUGCCAUCAACUUAUCUCCACCUAGUCCCACUAAUAGAAGACUCCACCUCAAGCCGAGUUUUCUCUACCUCAAGUUCCCAAGUGCAUACAUCCACUAUGUCUUUCACCUUUUAACCUCCACAUUAAGGUUGGUCAUAAGUAUUCGUAUCUCCUCCUCUCUAGGUUGAGCUUAAGUAUUCUUCGCACCGCCACUCCAGGCUGAUUUUAAGUGUUGAAUGUCUCUCCAAAUGAACACUCAUCUACAUGAGAGUCAACAUCCAAGUGUCGUUUUUUUCAAGGUGAGAAACUCCACCUUCUUCAUUUUCCUAACAUGACACCAUUAGAUCCCUUGCAAAUUGUGUGGAGUCAUCGUUGCACCGUAACUUAGGACAAUCCUUUUGUAACGGUCGUUGCUGUGACACGAAAUAACCUAUAUAUACUUCGACUUAUCACCAACUUUUGAGUUUCCAUGGUUUACUCUACACCCACCUCCUCUUCUUGAGACACUUAAUCCUUCGCUACCACCGUCAUCUGUUAAGUCUUUGGACAUAGUUAGCUACUUGGUUCUCAACGAUGUUUGGACUUUCUCAAAUGUGAUAGUGUCUUCUUUACCAUAGUGUCUUGGCACGGGCUAAACCGCCUUACGAUAUGUUAGUAGUACACCAACUGUUUCUAGCUGUCAUGAGAGGUGAUUUUCACAAGUUGCCUCAUGGUCUGAUCAGAAUUGAACAUUGAAAAUCGGUUUUCCAUUUCAACAAGUCGCCUCACAAUUUUCUCUGAAACCAAUUUUCAAAAUUCAUCAAUUCAUCAAUUUUGAGUCAUGAUUUCAACAAUAAUCAUACUAAAGAUGAUCAAGUCUUAUUUAGACCCACUUACAGGCUGCCUCCAAAAUUGUCAACAACACACUCUUUAUAAAUUAGUUUCUUCUAUUGAUUAAAAUUCAUGUAUAAGUAACUAAAAUAUGUGAAAACUUUGUGAUUUUGUGACAUAUUUCCAAAAUAUUUGGACUUAUACUGUUUGGAUUCCAACCAAUAAAGAGUUAUAUGUUAAAAAAAUGGUGGUGUCAUGGAGAGUAUCUUGCUAACACUUCUCAUAUAAGUUUGUAUAAGAGGCUAAAAUUUGCUAUGCUCAGAUUCAUGUUUUAAGAACGCUCAUGUCCGAUCAAUUAUUCAAAACCAAUCAUCAUUAAAAAAUUAUAAAUAAAUAAUGUGUAUUCAUGGGGUCCGUCUAAGGAGUCAUUCUUAAUGUAUUAUCAUUGUGGAUACUCUUUUAUAAAUUUAUCUUCUUAUUAGUGCUAUUAUUCAUAUGUAACUUCAAAAUCUAUGGGAUAGAUAGUGAGUCAAAACAAGGUAAUGAGAUUUUUCCAAGUAAAAGACGCGGUGUUUGGGAAACAGCAAUGAAAGUGUGUUACAUGCAUGACUUGGACUUACAUGACAUGUGCUGUACACUUGUACAUGCUUUUCCCUAGAUUUUAUUUGUAAAAAAUUGCAGUGGUGCCCCUUGGACUUGGUUUUUUGCAACUUUAUUCUUUGGUCAAGGAUCUUUAAUUUUGCGGACCUUGUUGACCAAUGGAGAAAUACCAAACACAGAUGAGAUCCAUGGUCGGUACAAUAACGAACGGACCCAAUUCAAUAUGUGUAUUCUUACUUUCAUAUGAAGACGUUUCUAUUCAAUCAAUUCCAUGAAUUUUAUAUAAAGUCAGAAACUUGGUCAAAUUAAAUUCCUAAUUUUUUUUUGUAGUCAUAAAGAAAUCCAGUUAGCCAUACGAAAAAUAAAGUUUACAUCAAUAUUCUAAAUUCCGGACUCCGGUCCAUUUGAUGAGUAUAUUUGAUUACAUCAUAAUCACUUUUUUCUUAAGAAAAAUAUUAUUAUUUAUUGUUGAAACAUAAUUUGUGUUUUGUGAAAUAAAAUAUUCAUACGAGUCUCAUACACAAUAUUAGUGUUUAUAUAGUAGAAGUAUGAUUCUUGUAGUAUGCUUAAAGGGUAUCUAAUUUUAUAAUUAAGAGAGGACACAUUAACAUGACCACAACUCACACGAGGUCGCUGUCGUCCAACCGACUCAGUUUGGGGUGUAUUAUUUUUUAAUGACCCAAAAUCUCAAUUAUUAUUUAUAACUUUUUCUUCUGGUACAUGCCAAUUUUUUUAACGCGUUAGCACACGAUCGACAUACGCCAACAUGCGUCCAACACACACACGCACGUGUGUACCCUCCAACCAUAAACCAAAUCAUUCUCGCGUCACACGUUAAUGAGGCUAGAUCGAUCGUCCGUUUUCCAACAAUCAUACAAUAUGAGCCAUCCAUUUUUUUAAUUGAUCUUGGAUCCUCGCCUAUAAAAGGAGUGCACGGUCUCACUUUCGAGAUACACCAAAACUCAACAAUCUACAAGUUUUCUCUCGUUCCCAUCUUUCUACUCGACACAUUUUCAAGCUACUUUUUCCUCUUUCUUUCUAUCAACUCGAGUGCUCUUAAUGCCAUAUUUGAGGAUGUGUAUCUAAAACGGAUUCUACAAUGCAAUAGAACUCAGGUACAGUUUUCGCUGAGUUGCUUCAUCCUGAAGACGCAGUGGUUGGUAAUCAUGUUAAAUGCCAAAUUUAAGUAAUUUUCAAUAUACUUUUAAUGACACUUGUUAACAUGAACUUUAACUUAUGUAAAGCAAGUGAUUUUCCCCCACUUUAUUGUACAUAAUAGUAACUAGAAUUUGAUACAUGAGAAUGAUAAUAGUCGCAUCAAACCAUGUUAUUAUAAGUUAGAUGAGAAUGAAACAAUCAAACAGGACAGCAGCAAAACAUUUUAUGGAAAAGAAAGCUAAAAAGGUUGAGAUGUUGUCAAAAUGGCUAAGCCCCUAAAAAAUGGCUAUGCAAUUUUAGAAUUGGGCAAAAUGGCUAAGCGCCACGGGAAAUGGCUAAGCAAUUUUGAAACAAUAAAAAUGGCCAACGCCACAAACGAUGAAAAUUGGCCACAAAAUUGAGAUUUGUGGCUAACUUUUGAGGGCCGGAGACCCUCACUUAUUUUCUUGUCAUAAACAUUUGUGUUCGUCUAGUCGGCCACAAACGUUUUGCUUUGUCUAAAAAUGAAAAUAAGUUUAUAAGGGACCAGUCCGAUGCAAAUUUAUGGCCGUCAAUACUACCGCAUAAAAUGAGGUGACUUUUGUUGUGGGUAUAUCUGCCACAAAAAAUUAACCUAAAAAUUAUUAAAACAAUAUUGUAGAUUGUGUUUUUAUAUGUAUUUUCGUAUGAUUGUUAUUACGGUUGUUAUAAAAUAUCAAUUUUAAAAUAUUGUCUAUGAUCCUAAAUAUAAGAUUUUUUUUUUUAUGUUCAUAACUAAUGUAUCCGAUUUAUAUUAUAGGCCAAAACAUUAAAUAUUCAAUGAACCUGAAAAAAGAACCUUUUUUAUAAUUAGCACCGGAGGGAGUAUUACACAUCGUAGGAAAAAACAUCUGGAAAUCAAAUAACAUAUUCUUAAACCCUGCUUCCUCCCCUUGUGGAAAACUCAAAAAUCAGAGGAAAAAACAAUGACCGUUGAACAACAACAAGAGAAUAACAUAUCUAAAUAUAAAAAUUACAACACAUAAACUUCUCUCAAAACCGACGACCCCAAUACACCAUACUCUCAAAAUCAUAUAUCGGAACUACAACUCAUAACACUCUAAGACAGGAGCGUAAGAAAAAAGAAAAAAAUCAGGUACAAGUUUAAAAUGUUUCCAACCGAUUCAUCAUGUAAGACAUCUCGUUUACACAUACUAGACGACAUGAGACAUUUUUCCACAUAUUUCAAUCAACUCCAACAAUAUCCACCUUGAUUAAAAUUGAUAGGCCCUCUACUUCCAUUGUCACACAAACAAUUAUAGUUCGAAAAAACUAGCAAACUCCAUCAUAAAUAGUAUACUUCACUUGGAGAUAAAGCACUCCAAGAUAUUCUAAUGUGAAAAAUCAUAUUGAAAAAUUAUGGUACAACUUCUAUGUUGCCUUUCUCAUGUAGUUCUUCAGCCAUCAAUAAAAUCUCACAUCACACUAUGCAUCAAUUCCAAUUGAUACCUGUGUGCCAACCAAUACCCUGUGUAAUAUCGAUGGUAUCAAAACAAACUUGACUUACAUAUUACUAUGCAAAAUUGAUUCUUCCAUUAAAUUUCUCUAUGAAAAACUUUACAACAGAACUUGACAUUGCAAUUAUAUACAUAUUGUAAAUUGUGCACCAGAAAGAUUCACAGGAAAGAGAGGUGAGUCACAAUGGACAGACUUAAGUACCAAAUAUUUCCUAGCCAUAUCAACAUUUCCAAAACAACAACCCUUUCUAAUGUAGAAGAAAAUAUACUAUUACAAUACACAACAUACUAAGAAUUUAAUAUUUGGAUCAAACCAAAACUUUAAUACCAAUUGUUGAAAUAUAAAGUGGAAAAUACCAAAAUAGGACCAAAAAAAUCACUUUUGUCAAAUGAUACUAGAGAAUGACAAUAUAUGAAAUUUAUUACAACACAUAGACUUCUCUCAGAAAUUCCAAGGCCUUGGUGUAGCUAUACUCUACAAAACAAAUACUUGAACUACAUCUCAAAAUACUUGAAGACGAGAAAGUAAAAGUGGGAAAUCAAAUACAAACUUAAUGUAUUUUUAGCAUGGACACCUUUUAACAAAGAACUAGAGUUCUUUCAAAAAAAAAAAAAGAACUAGAGUUAAUAUCUACCGGUCUCCCUCCUUCUUUACCAUACUAGGCGAUGUGAGAUAUUUUUCAAAAUGUUUUAAUCAACUCGAACAAACAUAGCACAUAUCGCAUAUUUUAAUGAUUUGAGUAAUUCCUUUAAAAAAAAUGAUUUGAAUAAUUGUUAAGAAAAAUUAUUUUAUCUUGUAUAUAAUCACGAAUUUUUAAUAUUUUUAAGUGGGUUAUUUUUGUAAGUGUUUUUUAUCAAUAAAAACAUGCUUUAUAUAUAUAUAUAUAUAUAUAUAUAUUGAGAAAUUAUUUAUUUUAUAUAUAUUUUGCUAUUGCAUGUCAAUCGUAUUUUCUUUUAAGUUAAAUAUAAAACACACUCUUUUUAGUGCUUUAUUUUUUUUAUUUUUUUAUUUUUUACAAUUCAACGGACUUUCUAUAUCAAGUUUUAUUUUCUGUGAUGAGUGUGUGCACUAUCAAAGGUCUUAGUCAUACCCAUAUCAAAUUUCUUAGUGGGCAUGAUCUUAGUGACGUACCCGGAUCAAGAAGGAGAGCACCUAUAAAAACAUUUCCACUUCAAGUAGAAACAUUCCUGCGGUGGAGUAUCUUAGUGAGUUUAAUAUCUGUUACUAAUAUUUUGUUUCCUCACGUCUAAUAAACUAAUUACAAAUGUUUUAACUUAAAAAAAAGUGCUUAAGCAGAAUUUAGUAAGAUAAAAUCAUAUUUAGGAAGAAGAAAGACCUUAUUAAGCCACUUACCCUUUUUUUUUUUUUUUUUUUAUGCUUCGUUUGUGCACUUAUGCUCCACGCACCGUAUACAACUAGAAUUGCAUCUUAGUAUCAAUUUUAGACAUAUAUAAUAAGAUUGCACCAAAAUAAAAUAAAAUCAUAUAUAUAAGUAAGGGAAGUGGGACAUCGUUUUUUAGGCAAACUUUGGUUUGUUUGAAAUUUAUGAUAAGCCCCACCAAGAGAAAUUGGAGACGAAAUAGAGUGAGAUUCAAGUUGAAGCAUGCAACCCAAAAACAUUUAGAUAAGAUGACACGAGUCUCUUCUAAUUUAAUCAAUGUUAUGAGUUCGAAUUCAGUCUUAUAUAUGCAUCAGCGCUAAAACACUCUUGGGAGAGUUUAUACUUGUAGAUGAUACCCGAUUUUAAAAAAAUAUUGGAGCAUUUAUGUUAAUAUUAAUUAAUAUUACACAUUGACAACAAAAAAAAAAUUAGAUGCAAAAUCUUUUUUUUUUCUUCCAAGGAAUGCAAAAUCCAGCAUAAAAUAUAUUAAAUUAAAGUUGGACAAAAUUACUCUAUAAAUCUUGUAUCUUAUUUAUUUGUAACAUUUAAUUCCUUUAUAUUUUUAAAAAAAAAUCCUUUCUUUUUUAUUUUUGGUCCGUUUAAAUCCUUUAUCUUUUAAAGCAUGCACAAAUAAAUUAUUUUUUUCCUUUCAUUUUUGAUUAAAAAAUAUUAAGUUAACAACCGACAUAGAAUAAUCUUAUGUUUGUUAAAUAUUUUUUAUUAAAAAUAAAGAAACCAUAAUAGUUAUUUUUUUUAAAAAAAAGCCAAAAUGAAAUAUAUAACAAAGCAGUCCCUAGAGCACAAGCUGUGCCUUAGAGACUACCAUAGGAACCAAGAGUUACAACAAUUACAAACCAACCCAACCGGACUACGUUAGCCAAUACCCAAAUAAACAAGAGGGCUUGACCACCACUGUUGGGUACCAAAAACAAAGAUAGCUUUUUUAGCUUUCAACCAACCUAAGGACAACAUCUUUACCUUGUCUAACAAACGGGGGAUGGGAGUUAUAACAUUAUUAAACAGACGAUUAUUUUGUUCAUUCCACACAACCCAGUCACAAAGUAGCCAUAUAAGUUGCAUAAAAGAACGUCUAGAAACAGCACCACCUGUCAAAUAAGUAAACUGAAGAAAAUGAUCUGAAAUAUUAUCGGCAUCCACCCCCGUGCAACCAAUCCAAUCACGCACCAUAUGCCAAAGCGAACCAAAAGUGUUACACAACAGAAAGAGAUGUUGAGCCGUUUCAGGAUGACCGCAACCAGCGACACAUAAGGACAUAUCAGGCAACAACACCCGUCGAGCAAUCAAAUUAGUCUUCGUUGGUAACCGAUCCUUGAGGAGUCUCCAUGCAAAAACUGAAACCUUCAAGGGAACCUGUUUGUGCCAAACCAACUCCGCAUCAGUAGCCGCGUCAGAAUGGUCCUGAGAGGUUAGCACAUGAUAAGCACCACGAACAGUGUAUCCAUCUGAAGGAGCAGGAAGCCAAACCCAUCUAUCUGAAACAUUCGGAAACAAGAGAACAUCAAGAAGUAAAGCCCUACACUCCUCUAAUAACACCUCCUCCCACUGCCACAAUCUACGCCUCCACCUCCAAACAACCCCCUGCUGCUCCAAAUCAACAGAGAACAAGUCUGCCACAGACAUAAGCUUAUUCUCCGUUAACUCAAACAGUCUACGAAAACGGACACAGAAAGGAACAUCCCCUAACCACCUAUCAUACCAAAACAACGUAUCAGAACCAUCUCCAACCCUCCUAGCCACGUGGGCGAGAAACCACCCACAAUCACCCUCACCAACACUAUCCCUAAGACGACUCACCUCCCUCCACCAACACGAAACACUCCGGCCCCCAACCUCCAACCUGCCACCUAAUUCGCCAUACCUGGAAACUAAGAUCCUAUACCACAAACCACCUCUGUCCACCAACAUCCGCCAACACCACUUACCUAACAAAGCACUAUUAAAUUCAUUCAACUGUCUCACCCCCAAACCUCCAUACUCCUUUUUUGAACAAACAGUUUUCCAACCUAUCCAGGAAAUUUUUCUAUGAUCCUCACUGCCCCCCCAAAAAAAAUUAUUAAAUAAAGAUUCAAGGGAAGAGAUUAUACCUGAUGGAGCUUUGAAGAAAGAAAGUGCAUAGACAGGUAGAGAAGUCAAGACAGAUUUUAAAAGAACCAGACGUCCUCCAAAGGAAAGAAACCGGCUAUUCCAACCCGUAAGUCUAGCUUUAACUCGAUUCACAAUAGGAUCCCAAAAACUAAGACGAAGAAUGAAAAAACAUUUCUACUCAAUCCCCGUGAGUUUAGCUCAGCUGGUAGGGAUAUUGCAUUUUAUAUGUAGGGGCCGGGGUUCGAACCCCGGACACCCCACUUCUCCAUAAUUAAAUUGUGUGAACUCUAACCAUUAAUACUUGACCCAAAAAAAAAUAUUUCUACUCAAAUCCACCGUAAAAUAACAUGAAUGUCAAUGUUAUGCUCACCUUCCUCUUUUUCUAAACUCAAAAAUAAAAAUUCUAAAAUUGUCAAUAAAAACACUAAAAAGAAUUUGGUUUAUUGAGAAAUGUCUAUAUCUUCAACAAUACCGCUAGGCUUCAUUCUCAUCUUUUUUUCAUUGAAUUGGGUUCCUAUUUUGGGGAAGAACAGAGAAAAAUUAGAGGAGGUUAUCAAUGUUUUUUUUUUGUUGUUUGGGAUUCGAACUCAAAACCUUACAUAUAUUAUACAUUGUCUCUACCAAUUAAGUUAAGUUUAAUCAAGAGAAAUGAGUGGCUUUAUCGGUCAAAAGUUUGGUGAUGUUUCUCAUAGUUAAUUGAGAAUUUCUAUUAUUUAGAAAAAGAUGGAAGUGAACAUAUAUAUUUAAUUUUUAUUUUAUUUAAGGAAGAUGAUGAAGGUAAUUAUAAAUUUGAAAGUUUAUGGAUUUUUAAUAAAAAAAACUCGAUUAUCCUAAUGGCUUAUUGCCAACUUAGUAUUUUUUUUCAACAAAAAAUGAAAAAAAAAUGAUUUAUUUGUGCGCGUCUAAAAGAUAAAUGACUCAACUUUACAAAUAAAUAAAAUAAAGAUCCUUAGAGUAACUUUACCUAAAAAUUAAAACUGUGAAAAGAAAAUGAUCAAUUAUGUUUUUUUUUUUUUUAUUAUAUGAACUGGGUAUCACCUGCACACAACUACAAAGACUAAUUAUUCAUGCUGGUUUAGACCACAAUAGAUAGAAAAGCUCUCCAUCAAGAGAUAUCGAUUAUAUUAGAAACAUAUGAAGUAGUAAAAAUAUAGACUAAAUUAAACUAAUAAGUAUUAGGUAAAACAAUAAUAAAACCAACAAACUAUUGAUCAAUGUAAUAUAUCAUACUAAUUAAAAAAUAGAUAAGUAUUAAAAUUUACUUACGAAGUCUGGUUCAAAUUUGAAAAAUUGAUUAGAUAUCUGAAAUCCUAUCCGAGUGGAUUUCACAAAAUGACAUGCUCCAAACACAUAUGUUCUGGACCGGCCAAAAGGAUCUUUGGCCUAUUUACUUAGGCCCAACACAAUCCAAAGCCCAAACUCCACGUUUGGCAAACUUACUUGCAACACACCCCUUCUCCGCCGGGGGGGGGGGGGGGGGGGGGUGCACGGAGCGAGCGAGACCGGUUCAUACGAGCCACAACGUCUCUAUGCACGUUCCCACAAUAAACUCUAUGACGGUUACACUUCCCACGAUUUCGUAACCGCCAGAGCCAGGUGUGCCAUUACAACGGCUCUGCAGCCUUCCACCUCUAUAAAUAGGGGACUCAUAGCAGUCCCCAAGUUAGAAUCUAUCUCUUCCUGUAAACCCUCACUCUCUGAUCUCUACUUACUUGAGCGUCGGAGUGCCUGCAGGUACACACCCCAUCCGCUCCAAGAAGCAUUAUGUCGUAUUCUACCACCACCUAAACCACUGCAUUCAAAGCACCGACAAUCACAUUCUGAUCAGGUACGAUCAACAUCUAAUAAUAGUUGGAUUUGGGCCGUUUUCGGUUUUUUUUUUAUUGGUUUUAUAUUGGAUUAGUUUGAAUUUGUACACCCUUAAAUUGAUUAAUGUAAUAUAUCAUACUAAUAAAAAAAUAAAUAAGUAUUAAAAUUACCUAUAAAGUUUGGUUCAAUUUUGAAAAGUUGAUCCAAAUUUCGGUCCAAAUGGGUUUCACAAAACGACAUCUAAACACAUCCAAUUCAAUAAUAGUUAAGUUUGUGCGAUUUUCAAUUUUUUGUAUCAAUUUGCGAUUUUAUAUUGGUUCAAUUUGAAUUUGACCCUUAAAAUGUAUGAUGCAACCAAACAAAAGACGUUAGGGGUAUGUUUGAUUUAGGGUAGAGGGAGGGGAGUGGAGGUAAUACUUUUAAUUAUGUGUUUGGUUUAAUUUUAGGAGGGGAGGGAAGAGCAAAAUCCCUCUUAAACCCGCCAAAUUGAGGGAAUUUGGAGAGGAGAAGAGAUGAACAAAUCCCUCUUUUGAACGAAACAUAUAUUUAAUUUAAAUACUUCCGCUCUCUUCUCCUCCCUUUCAUUAACAUCUCUCACUUCCCUCAGUUUAAUCAAGGAACCCUAGAAGUUUAAAUUGAAGAUAACGGUGUCAGAGGAGAUGAACAACAUUCAAAACAAUGUUCUCCACUUCUCAUUAUUUCAAAGACAUGUUUUUACUAGCCAUGUAUUUGUUUAAAUUUUUGCAAUCUGAAGAAGAUGAGCAUGCUCUCCCUUUUUGGUUGGUUUUUGCAUAUCUAGUUUUUUUUUCUUUCUUUCUGCACAUAGCCAUUUUUGCUAAUAUAUAUCAGUUUCAUAUUAUUAGCAUUGCUUUCUCUCAUUUCAAACAUGAAAAAGGGUGAAAUAUUAAUCUAAUAACUAACGAUUAACAUCGGUCAUUUUUAAAAAAAAUAAACAGUCUUCUAAAUAUUUUUGAGAUUUCAGACAAUAUUUUAGUGGUAAAAGAUGUUACCCCUCCACAUUUUUUACAGAAGGGACACCAAGAAAAAAAAUAAAUGACGAUAUCCAGUUAGACCAUUUCCAAUGCCAAAUUUUUUAAGGAAUGACAACUAUCUUCUAAGUUCUAAGAGACACCUGGAGGGACGAGAGUUAAACAUGAUCCAAGAGCAUGAAGUAAGUAACAUCAAUUAUUUAUUAAAAAACUCAAAAGUAGGUAUUGUAAAUACUACUUCGCCUCAAAUAUGAACAAAAACUGAUUAAAGAAAAUUAAUGUAUUUGGUCCAAAAACUGAUCAAAAAGGGUUGAUGCAUUUAAUCCAAAUUAUAUCAUAACAAAUCAUAAUUUACGAAAAUCAUAAUUUUUUAUUUUCACACUUUACACUCAAAUCUCACGCUUAGAGGGUACCUUUGUUUUACUUCGUAUAAUAUGUAUAAUACAAAUUACCACUAGAAAAUUGGCUUUAGCGUCAGCAUAAAGCUCAGGUUAAUAGGCCAAAAGAUGAUACUUGCAACGAUUUAGCGCCAAAUGUCGUGGCACACUCUAAAAGGCUCAAAGCUAACAGCAUCGUUCACUUUUUUCAGUCGACACUUUAAUUAUUGUAUAUUAAGCCGGCGCUAAGCAGACACUACGAUCUAUUAAUAAAUAAUUGACACUAACAAUAGUGUCAGAUACACCGACACUAGUGAGCCUCGGUCAGGCCCACAUUAUUGUUGUAAUUUAAGCUUUUAGCGUCAAAGAGCCACGCUAAUGUCAAAAUAUAUUUAAAAAAGUUGCAGCAGUGAAAUACAGUCUACUGAUGUGCAGUAUCAUAAGAACUUGUAGGCAUAUUUGCUACAUUCCAAUCACUUUGUAAUAAAAGUAUGUUUUGGAUUAGGAACAAUUUCUAGACAAGGAGAAAUUAUUUCAACGAAAGUGGAAAAAGAGCUUGAUACCAGAAUCAUGAGAUAUCCAAAGCUUAUGCUUCUAGAACCUGUUUUGCAGACUUAAACAAUUAGUAGGCAAAGUGCUCUUUUGUUUUUGUGUCAGUUUGUCAUCGUCAAAACAUCAAUAACGUAUAGUUUGUAUAUGUACCUAUUUCUAACAAUUGUGUGUGUCGUAAAUGUUAAUUACAAUUAGUAUUUAUAGGCAGAGCUCGCAUCUUGCUGGUUAAGACAUUAUGGUCUACAAAAUCUUGCUUGAUUGCCGUAUUCGGCUAUUCCCACAGGUGAUGCGUGCCUUAACACGUUGUUGGGUGUAUGUGUCGCCUCAUGCUUAGCUUGGAUGCCUCCCAUAUUUCAGGACAUUCCACUUACCCUGGUCAACAUGUUCUUUUGCACUUUUGAUCACACUCCAAAAAAACAGUUGUUUUCCUUUCACGGCGCAUGGGAAAAACCUUGCUUGUUUAUUAUUCAUUUUCUUAAAAUAUGAAGCUUGCAUUUGAAUUUGAUAUAGUAAGUCCAUCACACAACAAACAUAGUAGUUUUUAUAGAAAUCAAUCAAACAUACAUAAUAACACAACAUGACCAUACAUAGGGAGGUGAGGGAAUUGGAUUCCUUCUCAUCGAUUAUUUAAAGCAACAACACAACAACGACGAUGACAUUUUUUAGAUGGAGACACUGUUGGGAAUGCCUCUGGAAGUCAAUCCUUCCUCACUAGUAGGAUAAAGCAGUGUAUAUGGCAUCUUCACAGGUCCAUUUCGAUUCCUCAGUGUCUCAUCAUUGUUCCUUUGAAUGAGGUUUUUCUCGAUUUCAGCCAACUUCUUUCCAAACUUCUUGUAGGCCUGUUUUGGUUGUGAAUCAGAAGUCCAGAGAUCACCUUCAAUUCUCUCUCCAAGGUAUUGUUCAUCAGAAGCAUGCCUUGACAAGACCUCUAAGAUGGUCAAGUUAGUAAGGGUAUCAUUCUUUGCGGUGAUUGUCCUCAAAUAAGUCUUCUGGUAGUCCUUAGCAAGCUCAUCAUACUCAACGGAUCCUUUCUCAGGCAUGAAUCUUCUACUUUUUGUUGGUCGGUUAAGGAUAUAUCCUCCAUACGCAUAUUGUCCAAAAUUAACAGCUGCAUGAAGUGCUGAAGCAAUCCAUAUGAGAAUGGUGCAAGCUUCUUUCAACUCCGUACGGUUUUGCAUCUUAAACCACCAUGUUGCAUUCCUAAAGUCACCAUGACCCACCUCUACAAGUUCUUUCCAAAAUGCUUGGAGUUCAGAAUCUUUCACAACAUCUGCAUCAGACUUGUAGUAGAAAUUCACAUAUUCAUCAACCCAUGACUUAAUAGCAGCCCAUAUCUCUAGUCCAUCAGAAGCAUAAGGAUAGUCCUCUAUCAGAAGUCGAACACCAUGUGGAGAAGCUGGAUCCUGAACUGCCACUCCUCUAAUUAACAUGCAAGGAAGAUAAAAUUAUUACUUAAAGUGAUACUAAUGAUCAUUUUACAACUGUUUUAGAGGAGAUACAAGUCUGUUUAAUAGAAAUAUAAAAGUUAGUUAGAGUUUGUUAUUAGGGCGUUACUUCGUUGAUUUGUAGUUAUUACCACUGAGAAUCUUAGAUGGCACCUCAUGAACAUUAAAAAAAUAUGUUUUAGAUCAAUAUCUUUUUAAAAAAAUGGACCGACCCAAGAUGUACGGUUUUGUAAGGUUACCUUUUGAUUAGAUCAUUAGGAAGUCCUUGCUCGGUGAAAUUCCAAUCCUUGUAAACAACAGCAGACAUUUCAACAGCAUAAUCUCCCCACAAGAAAGUUAAUUCCAUAACACCCCCUGCAUUGACCAAGAUAGUUCGUGCGAGGGAAUUUAUGUUCAUUGUGUCACGGUAGUGUGGAAGUAAAAGUUUAUGAAUAGGGUGAACCACACUAAGAUGCCUAUUUGUUGCUAUGAUGAAUGGCUCAACAACGGCAUGAGUGUUCAACCUGUCACACAUUGAGAUACAUAUAUAUGAAAUUACGCUUAGAUAGAUCAAAUUUAGAAUUUGAUUGUAUAUAUAAUACUGAUUAAUGAAAUUCAUACCAAUGGCUGACAAGUUGGUGGUAGCAUGAGUCAUUUACAACGACAUAAGCCUUGGCAAGGAGCCAAAUUGAAGCUUCAACACCUUCACUUGCAGGCAAGUAAACAUUACUAACAGGACCUAAACUAUCACCUUGAGGGUGUGGCCUACUUAGUUCAAUGGCCAAUGGCUUCAAAGUUCCAUCAUUUUGCAAGAAAAGAAUGGUUCUAGUUGCAUAGGACUUUGUCUCAGUUGCAUUUAUUCUCCUCAAAUAUGGAAUUAGUAGAUCGUGGUGAUCAAGUAUGUACAAUUUAUUGUUUUGGAUAGCCUGUAUGACAAAAUAAAAUUUAGCUAAGUCUAUGAGAUGUCAACCUAAUGGUAAAAGUCGACUUUAUUAACCUCAAGAGGCGUAUUUCAAAUUUUCUCGUGGACGAAAUUCAUUAAUAUCACUUUGCUGAAAACAAAAAUAGAACUAAUCCUUUGAGUAAUAUUGUAUUGUGACAUUACCUGUUCUACUGUGACCCCUCCCAUGUUUGGCUCCAAGUGAUCAAUGGUUAUUGUGCUGGUAUUAUCACCAUAUAGUUUGCUAUCUAACUUGCUCUUUGGUGGAAACUCCUAUAUUAGGUUAAUUACCACUUAUAAAUAUAGCAUGAAAAGUGAACAUGAAAGUCUUUGUUUAAUAUUGUGUACUUGCUUAAAAAUAUUAAACUCUUGAGUUUACCAGAAGUUUUUUGAUGAUAUGAGGAUUCACCCCAGCAAUCAUCUGCCUUGCGAAUUCCUCAUCAGUCAUCCAUGCAGAGUCAUCCACUACACAUUAAAAGAUAAAUGACUUUUAUUUAUAUGUGUUUGCUUGUGCGGUAGAAUAAUGUGUACGCGCGUUAAUGAGAAGCUACAAAUUGUAGCUUUUGUUUUUCCACAGCAAAACUUCCCUCGAAACGUGAAAAAAUAAAGCUUGGCCAUCAUUCCAAACAUAUACUUAAUUUAUUGUUAGGGCUAAGAAUUGUAACUAAUAUAUACCUUGAACCACUUUCGGUGGUGGAAACUUAAGUACAGCUUCACCAUCAGUUCGAAAAAGUUCUUUGAACAAUGGUAUUGGGCUAAUCUGGCUUAGUACAUCAGUAGGAAGCUUAAUUCCACCAUCGUAGAGAGAGCGUAUAUCUUCAAAGGUGUUAAACUCAGGGUUAUUGAGUUGUAAUGUAGCUUUAGAUCUCAAAUUAGGUAUGACUCUGUGAGUUGCUGAUUUGAGUACAUAACCAAGAAAGUCAGAUGACUUCAAGUGACCAAAUGAUUCAUCUCUUGGAACGUAAAUAGCGUCACUUCGACUCUCACUCUUAGGAUCUGUUCACAUGUAAGAGUAAAAUGUUUUAGCCACAAUACCAACAUCUUUAUAAUUAAUUUAAUUGUGAUUAGUCUUGGUAGUUUUGGCUUAGUUUGAUGAGAUUACUUGAAAUGCAAGUAAUCUAGCUUUAUGCUUUCUAACUUGAAAGUUAGCUAUAAACAAGUUGUCCUUGUAUCAUUAGAAAUAAAAUGAAAUCCAUAUUUCACAUUACAGUUUCACACUGCAGUACCCAUAUCAUUGGAUUUGUACCAAAUUACCUUAAAUAUUACUGCAAAAGAACUAUAAACAGUCACAGCUGUUUGGAGCCUAACCUUUUUUAGAUGGUUUUCUGCCGGUUCUUCCCCUUCGAGGGUAAGGCAAGUUUCCAGGUCCUCCAGCAACAGGACGAGCCAAGCUAGCUUUCUGGUCGGGAUCACCCAAGUCAUUGUAGACAUCAUAAUCAUAUAUUCUGUCCCAUUCCUUGCGCUCUCCCGUUCCAUCUCCUCUUAAAGUCUUCAAUUCUUCUUGUCUGUAGUACACUAAUGGAGCUGGUGUUGCACUUGGAAGGUAUGUCUACAUAUAUAAUGUCAAGUUUUGGUGUUAACCGACUGGUUCUCAGAAAAAAGGGGUCCUGAUAAUUUGGAGUUCCGGGAGGUAAGUAAAGUUUGAAACAUUUCUAAAACUAAUUACUAAUAUUUGUCGUUACAAAAAAUAGCAAGCUAUAGAAUUUUUAUUCUUACCUUGUUGGCAAAGAAGAUGCGGUCCGUUUUGUACUUUUUAGAAUUGUGAAUCCAUGAGUUGCAAACAAAGUUGAUGGUUCCAUGGUUUGGAACAUCUUCAAGUGUCAAACUCACAAGGAAGAAUUCACCUUGCAUAUAGUUAUCAAUAUAAAAAGCUCCUGGAAUUCCCAUGGUACUGUCCCAUUGAAAAUGAAUACUGAAAGCAGAUUGCUUGUCCCCCAAUGUUGGGAGGGAGGUAAGAAGACCUUCCAGAAAUGUUUCCUUUCCCACUUUUCCUUUUCCAGUUCCUAUAAAAAUGUCAAAAAUUGGACUCUUAGUUUCACUAAUGAUGAUUCUUAAAUAAGUAACACCUUAAAAGGAAAAUAUAUAAUUUCAAUAUUUUAGUGGUUAUAGUAAGGGAUUAUUUAUGACAAAACAAAAGGGAAAAUAAGGUAAAUCUUAAUGAACUGAGAGGUCAGAAACUCCUCUAAAUUAUAUAAGAUAAAAUUUGCAGUAGAUAAAACAGUGAGUAUAAUUCAUUUCUUUUUACUCUUAAUUUAAGGUCACUUAUAUCAUAUCAUGAUCCUUAAAAUUUAUAUUAGAGAAGACAAAGUCAUGUAAGUAGUGGUCGGUACAAGAGAUCAUAGAGGUAGAAAAAGAAGCAAUUUUAAAUAGAAAAAGAUGAGUAGAAUUUCCAAUUUUAAAAAUCUCUUUAAGAGAGAAGUUCAAAUGUGAAGAAAUAAAGAUAAAAUUUUAAAAAACUUAUGGUACAAGAUGUAAUUCAAAAAAUUCAUGUGGGGAGCAUAUGCACCCCCUCACUCACAUUUUUUUUUUACAGGGUACAUAGAUCCAUUUAUAUACAUCAAACGCGUCAACGUCAAAAAAUAUUAAAUUAUAUGUAUUUUAUGUAUGUACUUCUUCAUUUUACAAACCAUAUAUACUUUAAUCUACAAUGGACAUCAAUUUUUUUUCUUUUAUGAGGGAGUGCUUCAAGAUAAUGAUCAGAUUUAAACGGGAGGUUGCGGAUUGAAUGAAGACGUUGAUCAUUUACUUGUUACGUUAGAUGUGUUUUUUUAAGCAAUAUUUGGUCUUUGGUUACAAAUUGAUUAGGUUUUAUUACAUUGCAUCAAGCUUAUAUAUUUUGGCUCAUUAUGAUAUGUUUAGGAGCUUAGGUGGUUUCUCUAACCAAACUCGUUUAGCUUUCAAGAUCAUUUUGCUAUAUUGUGUUUGGGUCAUAUAAGAGGAAAGAAAUAAGCGACGUUUCAAUAUGAGGAGGAUACUUUGCAAUCUUAUAUGUGAAAAAAAAAUUAGAUACAGUCAUAUUGGGGUUUGAAAGCAAAAUAUGUUGCUUUUGCUUUUGAUUACAAUUAUUGGUCGUUUAAUCCCCUUUGGUGUUUAACAUAUAUUUUCUAGUUACUUUCCUAGAUGGUUUUCUUUUCAAUGUUGAUUUUAUUUUUGUUGUAAUGUUGUAAACACUAUUAAAGUCUUCAUCUUGCACUCCUUGUGCGAGAUAGAUUUGUUUGGUUUCGGUAGUAUAUUUCAUUUUGCCUUCUUCAAAAAAAAAAAAUUAUGUAGUAAUUUUUUUUAUUCCAAUAGUGUUAUUUUAAUAUAAUUUUAUCAUUUUUUACCUAACCAAAUGACUAAAUUAUUUUAAAUAGUUACAUAAAUUAUUUCAUUUUUUUUUUUUAUUGAGAAGAGAGGGUGACAUUUCCGCAUCUGUCAAGUAAGGAUCUUAAUUUUUUUCUUGUUUUUUAUUGAUUUCCUUCAACGAAGGUGAUUCAUCCAAUUAUACUCUCUCGAUCGAGAUUCUAACUUUAUUCAACCCAUUUGCUAGAUCCAACUUCUGUCGGUGUACACAUUUUUAAAAUAAGUUUUAUUAUUUAAUCAUUUAUACACUAAAAAUAUGAAAAUUAAAAUGUCUCUUUCUUGUAAGAAAUAAAUAUUUUUGACUUAUAUAGUGAGAAAGAAAGAAGCUAUUACCAUCAGCAGUCGUAGCACUAAUCAACUUGAGAGCCACAGAACGGCCCAAGAAUGAAGUGGCAGUGUCAAUUAUAUUGCCAGCUACAUCACCAAUAAUACCUAUGGCACCACCAAUGAUACCUGUAGGGUUAUUAGUUGCAGUUAGGGCAUCAAUGUCCAACGCAUUCUUUUGCAUCAACACCACAGUUCCCUUCAACUUUUGGCCUCUAUCAAAGAGACCAGUUACCCCUGAAAACAUCUUUGAAUAUGCUUUAAAUAUAUUACACUAUAUUUGGUAAAUGAAAGAAAUGCCUGUGUCUUGUAACCAUGGGGGUGCUUAGUAUCUAUAGUAGUUGAAUGGGAUUGGAAUCUCAAGGUUAGUCUAAAAGAGAUGAUUUCUUUUAUUCACCACUAGUAAUUAACAACACGUUUAAAUGCAAUUGAGGGUCACGUGGUAAUUUCUUUUUCUUUCUUUAUAAAAAAUAAUGCAAUUGGGUUGGUCACAUGCUAAUUUUUUAUUUAGCAUGCUUAUCUUGAGGCAUGUAAAAUAAAGACAUAUCCGUUGGUUGUUGCAUUUUAUUUCGGUUGUUACAUGUGCCAGCCUAGGUUGUCACUUUUUAAAUUAAUUUCACUAUAUUGUUGCUAAUUUUGUAAUAGGAAAAAAAUUGUUUCGUAUUCGUAUUUUUGUUAAAUAAUGUUGUUUUCACAUGGGCAAAGCUCCUUGCAAAUUUUCACGUGCAUAUACUCGUAUGAAACUUCAUUUAAAUACACUAAUGAAUUGUUAAAUCAACUAAACUAAACUGUUUUCACAUGGGCAUGCUCCUCACAAAUUUUGGUUCAUAGCCACUUUCCAAUAGGUUGGUUCAAUAUUUCAUUCAAUAAAGCACAAGAUCUAAAUCAUUAAGAUAUCCAUGCAGAUGAGAAGAAGACGACCUAGUGGAAGUCGACGGAAAGAACACAUUAGGGUGGUGGCAUUGCGCCAAAACAACACAAUGGUCAAUUUGCUAACUUAGACCCAUUUUUAUUUUAUGAGAAAUAAUUUGAGGGGUAAUUUAGUUAUUUUUCAGAUAAAUUAGGAAAUGGUUGUUGGAUGUUUUUUUAUUGAAAAAUAAAAUAAAAUGAAAUUUACUAAACUAUCCCUUACUUUAAAUUGGUUUACACUAGGGGAUAUUGGUCUUUCGUCAAAAUUAAAAUGUACAUUUUUGUUAACUUCGACCUUCCUAAACUCAUUUAAAUAAUCAAAUAAUUAGAGAGGGCGUUACAAUUCCUCGUGUCGUCAUAGGAGUCAUGCUCAGUUACGUAACGGGAUGGGGAUGUUUAUGUGUUUUAUUUUUCCAUUGUUACGUAUCUUUCUAUAACUUGAUGUUGGACCACUUUUAGGUGAAUUUUAUUUAUGUUGUUGAUGUUGAGGCCUUAGUGCCAAGUAUUGUUAAAAACAUUGAAUAUUUUCCGCUGCGACUUUGUUUUAAUUAUUGGAAGAAGUUACUUUUAAUAGAGAGUUGAUUUUAACUCUAUUUACAUUUAAUGAUAUUUUGAAGAACGAAAUGUGACAUCCUGUUGUGAUGAACUCUGAUUUAUUUUAUAUUAUUUAUGUGUUGGGAAAACGGGGUGUUACACUCCGACCUAAAGCAAGCGCCAGCUACCAAACUUGUAACGCCCUCUUUGAAUUAUUUAAUUAUUUAAUUGAGUCUAUAAUUUAUUAAGAAGAGUUUAUAUUAUAUUUAUAUGAUAUGUGUGAUUUAUGAGGAGUUGUGACUUAUUUUAUUGUUUAAUAAGAUAAGAUUUGAAAAUAAAAUAAAUAUUGAGUUGAGGGGUUGUUUUGAGAUUUUAGAGAGUUUUGGGGGAGAAAGAGAAAUAAGAUAAAGUAGAUGGAGGAGAUAUAAAUAGGAAAGACCUAGUUUAGAAAAACGUACGUACGAUCAGUUUUUGGAGAAAAGGGAGAAAAAGCCAAGAGAAGAGUGAAGCACCAAGAAAGCUGCGAUUUUUGUUAUUAAGGUAAGGGUGAGACUAACAUUCAAUUUUAUUAACCUAUAUAAUUCUGAUGAUUGUAUUUAGCAAGUGUAGGAUUGAAUUAGAGAAGUUGGAAAAUUAGGGUUAAUGAGAGAAAUUGAGAAUUAAUGGAUGAAAAGUUGUUAGAUUGAUGUAGAAUUUGUUUACAGACCUUAGAUAAGUCAUAAGAUAAUUACAGGAAUCAAUGUUAGGCUUAAAACCAUGAGAAAUAGUGAAUUUUUGUGAAAACUACACUUCUGCCCGAGCCAACAUUCAUCACUCGCCUCCCGAGCUGUGAUCCUCGCCAUAGCGAGUGAUGAACUUCAUCGCUCACCUCGUGAGCAAGUAUUCCCCGCCUCGAGAGUUGCACCUUGCAGCUCGCCAUAUUGAGUAGAUUCACUCACCUAGCGAGUGUGACCAGAGAGGUAUCAUGAUUUCGUAAUUUUAACCUUUAAGGAGAAGGAGAAGAACAUGAAAGUAAAUAGGUGAAAAUAAAAGUGCAGAAUUUUAAAGGACAAGAAUUAAGGAACAAGAAAAAUAAAGACAUUGAUUGAAUAGAAAUAGUUGUCACAGAAAAUUCCUAAGAACCAAGGUGAAUAAUAUGUCUAGUGGCUGCUCUAUUUAUAGCCUAAAAGCUAACUUAAGCCCUAAGAAAAGGCAAAAACUUACAUAGCAAGCAUGUUGAUCUUUGUUGGUCUAAGUUAGCAAACUUCAUACAUAUAUAUAUAAAACUGCUAAUUUAUACUCACCUAAAAAUAUUAAGGAGUAAAUUAGCAACCUACACCCACCUUUUUUUGACCAAAACAUCACUUGUCACUAUUGUAAAAUGGUUUUAAGUUAAAGAUAAUUGUGUAAUUUUGUGUUUAAACAAAAGAUAUCAAUUGCAGUUUCCUCGUACACGUUUUUAAUUUCCCUCUACUUUAAGGAUUGUUGUAGGAACAUGGUGGGAGGAUUUUUCCUCGUACAAUUUCUUAAUUUCUAAAGACACUGCAGUUUUAUAUCAAUUUUUUUUGUCUUUCUUUGUAACCUUUUAUUAAUGUUUAUAAACACAAUUCUCUUGUCCCUGUAAAUUUAACUAAGUUGAUACGAACAUUGCAUAAUAUAUAUAAGAUUAGGAAUUCAAACUCCAGACACUAAAAAAAACACUACUUUAUUUUAGGGGGAAAACACUAGUUGGUGUUCCCAGUUUUAAUUCACGUAUAAAAGAAACACUUAAGUUGUAAGGUUUCUCUUUCAAAAAAACAAAAUAAAAAAGUUGUAAGGUUUCUGUUUUCAACUUAAACAUUCACAUAACCUAAAAUAAUAAGCUAACGGAAAUUAAGGGGAUGUAUUGGAUUAGGAUUCUAUGAGAUUUUAAAAGAUUUUUUAAUUAUGAAAAAGUCUUGUGGUAUUCAAUCAAGACUUUUUGCAACUUAAAAAAAGUCUUGUGGUAUUCAAUCAAGACUCUUUGUCAUUUUAAAAAAGUCUUGAGGUAUUCAAUCAAGACUUUUCAUCGCUUAAAAAAAGUCUUGUGGUAUUCAAAAUCAUUCAAAUUUUGAAGAAUUGUUUAAUAAAUUGGAUUUUGUGGGAUUUUGUAGUGUAAUUUUAACAAGAAAAAGUCUUUCAUGAAAAGAUGAGAUUUCUUGAGAUUGUUUUUCUUUUAAAAGUUACGAUCUCUUUCUUCUCCUUCCUCCCUCCCUCCCUCUCCCUAUUCUAUCCUUUCUCUCUUCGUUUCUCUAUCUCUCCACUCUCUCUCUCUCUCUCUCUCUCUCUCUCUCUCUCUCUCUCUCUCUCUCAUCCCCCUCUCUCUCUAUCUCAUAAAAAAAAUAAAAAAUUGUAUUGAUAAUAUUAUGAUAGAGAGUAUGUCGUAAUCAAUGAUCCGAGAUUACCGAGUUUAUGUUUUUAAGUACAAAAAUCGUGUUAACUCUGAGGUAAAAUCAGUUUCUGAUAAAAUUGGAAGGCUUAACGAGUUUGACUGAGUUAACACUCGAUAAACUCGUGUAACUCGACCGAUUUAUAAUGACUGACAUAAUAUUAUUUUUUUAAAGAUUUGUAAGUGCUAGCAUAAUUUUAAAUAUGUACAAUUGAAUUUUGUGGGAAUAACAUUUUUAACAAAUAAAAAAUGUGUACUGAGAAUAAUGUGUUAGAGUGUUUUUUAGUCCCUUAAAAUCUUAUAAAAUCUAUAAAAUUCUUAAAAUUUGAAAAUCAAUGGUAAAAGAAUUUUUUAUUGAUUUUAUUUUUCUUUAUUCAAACGCUAGAAUUUAUUUGUUCAUUAUUUUUAUCAUCCACGCUUGUAAGUUUGUUCUUUUUCCCCUAAAAUUCAUUGAAUCCUUUAAAAUUUUAAAAUCACAUAAAAUCCUUUGAAAUCCUUAAAAGUCAGAGUGAUAAAUCCUUUAAAAUCUUGAGUGAUAAAUCCUUUGAAAUUUUAAAAUCACAUAAAAUCCUUUGAAAUCCUUAAAAGUCAGAGUGAUAAAUCCUUUAAAAUCUUGAGUGUAUAAAGUUUUUUACAUAAAAAGUCUUUUAAAUUCUCACAGAAUCAAUACAAUCUCACACAGUCUUUUAAAAUCUUAAAGACUUUUCCCCUAAGGUUAUUUGUUUUUUAUUGUUUUAAAAAAUAAUAAAGUCAAAUUGGCAAAACUAUCUUUUAAUUUAGGAAUGAUGAAAUUGUGAGUAAAUAACUGCCGACCCCACCGCAAUGUAGAUCUGUGCUGGUGGUGCGUUGAGAGUUGUUCUCCACACCACCGUCGCACCCUUCUCCCGUCAGCGUUCUCUUGGACUUGCGCUGUCAUUGCCUCGCCGUCGUAGUUUCGAUGGGUAUCUUUCGGUCUUGUUUGUAGGGUACCGGUUCGAAGUGUCGUCGACGUUGAGAGCUGUUCUUCGAAGGAUUCAUGUCCGGAGGGCGGGGUUGUCGGUCCUCCUCCGCGCCAACUCCUCCCUUUGGUGUGGUUCUGCUCUCCUUUCAACCGGAAUCCUCCCUCUCUGAGGUCGUCACUGCCGUUGCGUACUUUUUGAAGCGUCGUCGGUGCUUUUGGUGGUGAUAGGUUGGGCUGGUUGGUUCGCUUCCUGGUGGUGGUUGACGGUUUCUCGUUGGCGGGUCGUUGGCUGAUUCCGGUGUUGCAGAUUUGUUUUUGUGAUUGCUGUUGUUUCACUACCAUUGAUUCAGAUCUGCUGUAACGAGGGUUCGUUUGUUUUCGUUGGCGUUUUGUGUUUGUUGUGGUGCUGUUUUGUGUUGUGUUUGUUUUUUUUUCCUCUUUGUUGUUGGUUAUUUUUGGUUAGUUGUGUUUGGGUGGUGGUGUUCUCUGGUCCUGUCCAUCUGUGCGUGUUCUUGUUGAAGCGAUGAAACACAUGAAUAAUAUAAAUAUUCAAGAAAUAUACGCCACGUCAUCAACAAAAUCCAAACAACAGACAUAUAAAAAUUCUCAACAGUUGCAGCGGAUAUAAACCACACACUUCAAAAGAAUACAUGCCAUGAAAUCAAGAUACAACAUCAUAAAAGUUCUCCAAAUCCCGACAAAUGGGCAAAUCUCCACAAUGUAAAUAAAUCCAAAAUAAACAAUCUAGAAUAAUCAUAAGACAGACAUCCUAGAUCAAAGCCGAGCCUAUCCUAAGACUCUAAAGAAACGAUAACGGAGAUAGCUCCCACUAUCCAAGCAACUCACCAAAGCAACUAAUCUUGCACUUCGUCUACCCAUCCAUACAGACAUGUAGGCGGUCAAAACCAUGGGAGGUAAGCUUUACAUCAAUCAUAAUCAAUAAAACAAAUUUGAACAUAUAUGAAUUAAAUCAAGUUCCAAGUACUUAACAUGAGCAUUCAAUUCAAUAUACACCUUCACAUAGCAAUUUCAAAUAUCACGAAUAAGUACUCACCAAGCACACUUAUCAUCAACAAUUACGACUCAUGUCAAAUAUGCUAUGCGCCUAAUUCCGACACAUACAUGCAUGUGGUACCAUUCAACAACAAGAAGCCAACCCCACAUCUUAUGUAAGAGUACACCUCCUCUUACAAACAACUAUGUAAAAGUAUACCUCGUUUUACAUUUCUCAUAUGACUCGAUAUGACUAUGAUGCAUGGACAUACAAACAAAGACUCAAUAAUGCAAACUACUCAACAUAUACAUACACCAACACAAUGUAAAAGUACACCUCCAGUUACAUUAAUCAACUUCAACAACAAUUGCAUUAUCAAGUAUUUACGCCCACACAAUCAACAUGUCAUUAUUCAAUUAAGAGUCAUCACCAAAAUAUCACAAUUCAUCAACAUGUAUUCAUUAAUCAGCUUCAACUAUAUCAUAUAGUUCAACAACUCCAUACAACUUCUCAUAAUACAAGUAAAGGAGGAAAAUACAACACCUUAUGAUAAACAUCAUAUUCAAGACCUCGCAAUUACUCACAUAUCUUCAUUCAAUCAUAUAAAGCUAUUCACAAAAGAUUAUAAGGUAAAUGGCUUUAAAGAAUCGUUUUCGACAAAGUCCGUAUCAAGUGGCGAAACGGCCAACAUUGAUAAUUUUCAAAACAAGGUAACUUAUUCAAGUUUGGAAACUUACAAAUCAAUUUUAAUCAAUCAUGUAGUCAUGAAUUUAAGCCACUUACGAACUAUCAAACAUUAGUUCAAAGAUUAGCUUAAGUUCGUAUGAGAAAACUCCAAGUUCACAUAAUCCGUAAUCCCACCCGAAAAGUUGAUCCAAAUUUCGGUUCAAAUGGGUUUCACAAAACGACAUCUAAACACAUCCAAUCCAAUAAUAGUUACGUUUGUGUGAUUUUCAAUUUUUUGUAUCAAUUUACGAUUUUAUAUUGGUUCAAUUUGAAUUUGACCCUUAAAAUGUAUGAUGCAACCAAACAAAAGACGUUAGGGGCUUAUGGGAAAAACCUUGCUUGUUUAUUAUUCAUUUUCUUAAAAUAUGAAGUUUGCAUUUAAAUUUGAUUUAGUAAGUCCAUCACACAGCAAACAUAGUAGUUUUUAUAGAAAUCAAUCAAACAUACAUAAUAACACAACAUGACCAUACAUAGGGAGGUGAGGGAAUUGGAUUCCUUCUCAUCGAUUAUUUAAAGCAACAACAAAACAACGACGAUGACAUUUUUUAGAUAGAGACACUGUUGGGAAUGCCUCUGGAAGUCAAUCCUUCCUCACUAGUAGGAUAAAGCAGUGUAUAUGACAUCUUCACAGGUCCAUUUCGAUUCCUCAGUGUCUCAUCAUUGUUCCUUUGAAUGAGGUUUUUCUCAAUUUCAGACAACUUCUUUCCAAACUUCUU